GUAGUAGAGAUGCAACAAGUGACCAAAAUCUUUGGCUUCGCGGGGCACACGAAGGCGGCGGUCGUGAUUGCCUUGCACUUCCUCCUCUGUGCUCUCUAUAUCUUCCUCGGGGCUCUCGAGGUUUAUGCUCUCGAGGAACUUUACAAGAAGCUCCAUCAGAGUUGAAGGUAUCUCGCUGUCCAAGGUGGGCGUGACGAGUUCGAACAACUCGUCGAGCACGAAGAGGGGGAUUUGGUUCUCGAGCAAGAGCAAAUCGUCGCGAAUGAGCGGCAAGCUCCAAUCCGCAGCGAACAAGCCGUCCUUGUUCCCUUGGUACCACUUGAUGAGGAACUCUAGGAUGAAGCACCCGUCGAGAAGCAGGAUCUCCACGAACUUCUUGGCGUUGAGCUUGACAGGUUCGAAGUAGCACCGCCGCGCCUUUGGCUCCAACUCCCUGAUCUUGGCUUUGUAGUAAUUGUUGCGGCUGUCGCCGCUGCGAGAGCGGAAUGACUGGAGGUAACGUUGUUUAAGCCACUCCGUCUCCCGAAGGGAGGGCUCGUCACGGCGACCGUAGGGGCCGAUGGCGACCAUUCGGGGCUCGUACAGCUCCUUGUUGCGCUCCCGGAUGAGGGCCGGGACGCGGAAGAACGUGAACUUCUUAUCCGCAGCCGUCAGCUCAUCGCUUGAGGGGCGUUGUAUAUGCCUGGCGAGUACCAGGGACUGGGGAAUAUCUAUUCUCGCUUCUUCCAAUCCUUCCAUCGUCAACUUAUUGCAGAGUUUCUCAAACGCUCACGAAUUAAUUGGUGCACAAAAAAUAGGUGGGAAGAGUUUUCCUCCCUCGGCUUAUUUAUAGCCGCAGACGCAGAAGGGCUCCCUGGAUUGGGACAGAAAUUAUUUGGAGACUUGGAUUUUUUGUUUUUGUUUUUUUUUUUUUUUUUUAGAAAUAGAUAGUAAACUAUCUGCUUCAUUUAUUAAGUAAAAUGAAUUGAGCGUACAGAGAUGAAAGCAGCUUAGGCCUUCCGGAGACUUGAAAUUCAAAGUGUAUAUUUGAGCCCGUCGAAUAUAUCGCGAUUUGGGCGUUAGAUUUCACAUCUCGAGCAAAAAUUUAAUAUAUAUUUAAAAAUCACAAAAAAAUAAAAAAAUUUAAAUAGUUUUUUAGAUAAAUUUUUAGUUUCAUAACUUAGUAUCGAAUUAAUUUUCAAACUCUUAAUUUUAAAAUUUUUAAAAUUCAUUAAUUAUUUUAUGUUAGAUAAAUUUAUUUAAUUUUUAAUGCUAAUCUUUUUCUUUUCUUUUUUUUUGAGAAAAAGGUGAUAUAUUAUCCGUUUCGUUUAUUUUUUUGAAAAGAAACUCGUACCGAAUUAUGAAGCAAUUAGGUUUCAAAUUUAGAAUUUUAGUUACUAACCACCAAAUCUGCUGUCACUUACACUAAAGACGGACAGUUAUUGGUGGAUUUACAUAAAAAUUAUUUUUUAUCUAAAGAUCAAAAGUCUGCAUAAUUAUUUGUCAUUAAGUUUUGAAACUAAAAAUUUCAAAUUUCUUUAUAGUAAUUUUUUUAAUAGAUAUACAAUAUUUAAAUUAAUUGGUCGAAAAAAGUUUGGAUCUGCUUAGUGCUGAAAAGAGCCGGACGCCAAUGUUCAUUCUAAUAAAAUAAGGUGUUUCGAAAUAUGAAAUUACUGCACACGGGAAGAUAAAUUUUACAUUCGAAAAUUCAUAAUUUUUUUUCUUUAACCCUUUUUGACUUUUAUGCCCUGUGGUGUCUAUCUCCUUUUCUUGUGCACGUGUUAUAUAAGACCAGGGACGAAGCCAGGAUUUAAUUCUGGGGGGCCAAAAAUAUAUUAUGCAAAAUAUAUUAAUAAAACAAACUAUAUAUAAUAAAAAUUUGAAGUACACAAAUACAAAAAAAAAACUUUAAAAAUUUUACGUACCAUACAAAAAUUAGAAUAGUGCUCGGCGCUCCUUCCAGUCACGAAAUCCAUCAAUGAUUGAAUCAAUAGUAAACUUCUCGGCAAUUUCUCUUUCAAUAUACACGAUCAAAGAAUUAGUGAAAAAGUCAUCAUUCAUCUUAUUCCGGAGAUCGGUUUUGAUAAUACUCAUCGCGGAAAAUACCCGUUCAGUUGUUGCAGUUGAAACUGGAAGAAGUAAUACAAAUUUAACUAAUCUGUAGAGAAGUGGAUAUAUUUCUGACUUUCUUGUUGCCACCAACCAUUGACAUAAUUCAGAAAUAAUUGUCAAUUACUUGAAUAGUUGAACAAACAACAACUAAUAAAUCAAGAGCAUACAAUACAAUGACAUAAAAGAAAAUAUUUAGUUAUUCACGAUUGACGGUUCACUCACCGAUCAGGCGGUCACCAAAAAAUUAUUCAAAAGAAGCUGAUAGUCCAGAAGGGUGUAGGCGUGUAGCCGUGUAGUUCGAGGCGCUGAGCGGCCCGAGCCCGAGCGGGCGAGCGGCGAGGGGCGAGCACCAUCGGCGGCCAGCGUCCGGCGGUCCAGCAAGCUAGAGAGAGAUUGAAAUUUGAGAUAAGUUAGAGAAAGAGAGAGCUCUGAGCCUGUGACUCUCGGAGGCUGGGAAAUGGGAAUGGAAGUGUGGAAAUGGGAGAGAGAGAAAGAAAGUGUGGAACUGUAAGAGAGAGAGAGAGCGACGCUUUGCCAGUCGCCUUUGGGCGCCUCCUCCCACACCAGUGCGACCAAUCUGUCAAAUUCCACACUAAUUAACCACUCUCUCCUCNNNNNNNNNNNNNNNNNNNNNNNNNNNNNNNNNNNNNNNNNNNNNNNNNNNNNNNNNNNNNNNNNNNNNNNNNNNNNNNNNNNNNNNNNNNNNNNNNNNNNNNNNNNNNNNNNNNNNNNNNNNNNNNNNNNNNNNNNNNNNNNNNNNNNNNNNNNNNNNNNNNNNNNNNNNNNNNNNNNNNNNNNNNNNNNNNNNNNNNNNNNNNNNNNNNNNNNNNNNNNNNNNNNNNNNNNNNNNNNNNNNNNNNNNNNNNNNNNNNNNNNNNNNNNNNNNNNNNNNNNNNNNNNNNNNNNNNNNNNGGAUAUCUAAAAAAUGAAUAUAGAAAUGAAUAACCAAAUAUUUUAAUAGUAUUAUAUUUUAUAUUAAUAAAUUAAAUUAUAAUAUUAUUUGAUUCCUAAUAUGUGUGUGGAUAUAUGGAACAUAAAGACAACAAUAGUUAUUAUUUGUGGGAAGAUAAUAAGGAGUUUGAUAACUUUUAAUGAAAGGAUAAUAUAUCCUGAUGGAAAAAUAAGAUUGUUUUUUUGUAAUCUUCAUUUAUUUUAUUAUGAGUUUCAUAUGUAUAAAAAUUACACUUGUAUAUAUUAAAUCUUAAAUUUUAUUCAAUUACAUAUAUAUAGGUAUAUAUAAAAAUAUGAAAAUAAUGUAAAAGUUUAUUGCAUUGUUGUCAAUUCUAUUUCAUAUUUAUAUGUAUAUAUUAGUGUAUGUUAUCAUUAUUCGACUAGUAUCCGAAUAUUUAUUCGAUCCAUAUUUGAAUCUGAAAAUAUAUCUGAUUGUAUUUAAAUCUGUUUUUAGUGAAUUUUAAGGUGUGUGAUAUUUUGGUGUUUAAAAUUUAUUUUGUUGUUAUUUUUGACUCAAAUUCUAUUAAUUAUUGCACUCAAAAUCUAUAGUAUAAUUUAAUUAACUGAAAAUUGAUGUUUCACCAAUAUAAUAGUAAUUUAUGACAUUAAUUAUAAUACAACAACAUCACUGUCAUAUUCUUAAUAUGAUCAUUAUUUAACCAACUAAAUUAAAUAGUAAACUUUAUUAUGACAGUUUAAAGUAAAAAAAAAAAAAAAAAAAUACAACAGAGUAAAGUUCAACAUCUCAAAGUUUGAGGACGAGAAGCGCAAUUUAUCAGAAAAUUUUGAGUCAACUUAAAAGUCUUCAUUCUUACUUAAUUUUGAGCCGAUUUUAUUAAUUAAUUCUGAAUUCGAUCCAAUUAAUUAAACCGUCUUGGAGAGAGAAAUUAUUGUCUGCAACCAGAUUCAUAUUUCUCAUAUAAUAUGCUUUAUAUUCGACGAUUAGUUAUUUAAAAUUAAAAUAUAUUCUGAGAGAUAAGAUAAACAACAUUUGAAGGAUUGACGUGUAAAUAAUUAUAAAUUUUUCAAAUAUAUUACUUAUUAUUAAACAGUCUCGAUAGUAGGUUUUACUCAAAAGAAAAUUUGUUUGAAGGAGGAUUUCUUUUUUGAAAUCACUAAUAUAAACACAAGGAGGUUGCAUUCUCACGCUGUCAAUUUAUUUUUAAAAAAAUUAAAAUUUUAAAAUAAUUUUAAAAUUGUAGAUUUGAGGGUGUAAGAUAUAGAUCUUUUGCUAAGGAGUACAACUAAGUUUUAAACAUUUCGGACCUGUUAUUUUGGCUCAAAAAUUUUCUAAUUAUUACAACUCAUCUAGCCGUUAUGGUGCGUGCCAUCAUUUCGACCGAAUAAUUUUUUAAAUGAAGAGGAGUAAAAAAUACUACUACAUGCAGUCAGGCAGUCAGCCGAGAUGGAGUUACAUAAAAAGUGCAUUUUGGUCGUCACUAGGGGUGUAAUGUGGGCUGUGUCCGACUGGGACAGCUCACAUUAUCCGGACCAAAAUGGGUUAUGGGCGGGCUUUGCCCGGUCUGGCUUCAAAUUCAGGUUGGGCCAUACUGGGCCGAAUUAUCAAGUCUCCAGCCCAAUACAGCCCGAAAGGCACGGGCUGGGUCAGUUUUACAUCCCUCGGCUGCAACCAUUUUCAAUUUUUUUUUAACAAAUUUUAGGGAAAAUUUUAAAUACCCCAUUGGUUUUGCACUUUCUCACUUUAGUACCCUGUGGUUUAAAGUGUAUUAAGUUAGUACAUCGUGGUUUCGUACUUUCUCACUUUAAUAUCCUGUGGUUUAAAGUGUAUCAAGUUAGUACUUUGUGAUUUCGUACUUUCUCACUUUAGUAUCCUGUGGUUUAAUAUUUCGUUAAAUUAUAUACAAAAAACUUUAGAUACUCUAUCUAAGUUUAUCGAAUAUUUAUUUUAAUACUAUUUAGUUUUAACUUUGUCACUGAUUUAACGAAAAAAAUACCUCGAAGUGGUAAUAAAAAGAGAAAAAAAAAAAAUCAUAGAGUACUAACUUGAUACAAAAAUGAAACCACAGCGUACUAACUUGAUACACUUUAAAUCACAGGGUAUUAAAGUGAGAAAGUGCGAAAUCACAUGGUACUAACUUGAUACAUUUUAAACCAUAUGGUACUAAAUUGAAAAAGUACGAAACCGUAAGGAAGUUUUUUGAAGUUUUUCCAAAAUUUUAUAAAAAUUUUCUAAAUAAGGUGUGGCAAACGUAAAAGUAUUAAAUUGUAGGGGCCAAAGUGAAGCGUUUUGUUAAAAAGCUUGUACUAAUUUGCUUUCUAAAAAUCUUUGUUAUAAAAGCUUGUUAUAUUUUGCUUUGUAAUUUUUUCAUAAAAAGUUUGUACAUCCGACUUUUAUUAUAAUCUAUUUUAUAAUAAUUCUUUUUUUCUUUUUUUUUUUGAGAAAAAGGUAGCACGCUACCUGCUUCAUUCAUUCAGAUAAUAAAUUUAGCUACAAUGAAUUAAUCCCUCUUCGAGGGUAAAAUAAUUAAUUUUAGAAUAAAUAUUAAUUUGACUUCGUGUUUUAGUUUAUAUUUACUUUGUACCAUAUAGUUCAAAAACUCUCAUUGAACAACCAUAUGAUUUUAUCUUUAUUUGUAUAAAAAAAAAAAUACUAUUAAAUAAAAUAAAAAAAUAUUUUUUUGGAUUACUAUAAAAUAGAUAAAUACAACUUUUUGAACCAUGGAAUAAUAAAGUAAAAGUGAGCUAAACUAUAGAGUAAUUAAGUGUAAUUUUUUGAAUUACAGAAUACCAAAAUAAAAUUGAACUAAACUCCAGAGAGGCAAAUUAAAGUUUACUCUUUAUUUUAUGAACCAUAGAUAACCGAAAAGCUUGUAGAUCAUACUUAAUAUUUCAUGGAUUAGUCUUUUAAAAUCAAAAUCCAAUCCAAUAAAUAUAGUUUGUAUACAGAAUUAAAUAGCUUUAAAACUAAAAAUAAAAAUAUUAUUCGAUUUAUAAGAAAAUGUCGUACACAAAUAUAUUCGGGUAAACUGUGUGCUAACAAUCUCUUAUAAAGUGAAUUUAGUAUCACAUAAAUUUUUAACAUUUAAAAUAUCAAAUUUGCUGAUGGAAAAAAUUUUGAAUUUUAGAUAAGCGUGCGAGCACCNUAAACUGUGUGCUAACAAUCUCUUAUAAAGUGAAUUUAGUAUCACAUAAAUUUUUAACAUUUAAAAUAUCAAAUUAGCUCAUGGCGACAUUUGAUCUUAAAUUUGCUGAUGGAAAAAAUUUUGAAUUUUAGAUAAGCGUGCGAGCACCAAAAUCGUGAGUUAGAAUAAAAUUAUUUUAAUAUUUUGCAGUAAAAUUUAUCCCUUUUUAAUGCUAGAUUUUUAGACAAAAACAAAAAAAAGGGUUGACCUACUCAAUAGCGAAACGACCAAGUCAAACUCUUACCGAGUCAAAGGAAAUGUCAAGCUUAUAAAAAGAGUGGGUGCUACAGUGAUAUUCUAUGCAAAUCCUUCCACUUCCAUCUCUCUCCCCCCUCUUUCUCUCUCUCUCUCUCUCUCUCUCUCUCUUUAAGUUGAGAACUCUGAUUCUUGAAUCACUAUUGCUGCAUAAAAAGGUAUGAACUCUUAUUAUAAUGAUUUGUAAAUUAAGCCAUUAGUUUGUUUGCAUUCGAUUCUCAUUGUCCUAAUAGGCUAUAUAUCCUGUAUAAAGAGAGCUCGUUGUUUCUCUGAUAUUGGUAGUUUGUAAAAUGUGCUUCUAUGUAAACUUACCGACAUGGUACGCGCAUUUUUACUAAAAAUUUUGCAGGAAAGAUGCCGAAAUUGAGAUCUUUGGGUGGUCGAAUACUCUAUGGUGUGACACGGCUCGAAGCUCACAUGCUGCCUCGCACCAACGGCGACAUGGAGAUAUUCGUGCGUUCGAACAACGGCAAUUAUGCGCUUGAGGUGGAUAGCUCGAACACCAUCUGGGAUGUGUUGAUCGCCGUUCUUGGCGAUAUACGCAGUUUAGGGCGAUGGCCGAAGCCUACGCUUUGGUUCAACGGCUCAGUGUUGGAGGAAGCUUAAUCACUUUCGGACUACGGAAUCCAUGACCGAUGCGUCGUUCAACUUAAGUACAUCAUAGGGCCAAACCGCGGUCCGAAUGAGUAUGUAUAGAUGUCCCCUUUCUAAUUUUCGCUCCUCAACCUUUUUUUUCAAUAAUAAUUCACUACAAUUAUCGAAAACAUUGCAUAAAAUCAAGCAUUGUACUUACAGACGGGAGUGGUCAAGCAGAAUAUUAGGACGAGGAAAGAUUGUAAUGAUUCUUCAGCCUUCAGUUAUAUGGCUAAAAGAGUAUGACAAAGUACUUCUUGAUUUGAUGGUAGUGCACACUCGAAAUGGCGGGAAUUUUACGAGAGAUUCAUGACGCGACAUAGUUGCUAGGUUCAAUAGAGUAACAGGGUUGAAUUAUGGAAUCGAACAUUUGGAACAUCGCUUGUACUAUUACAGACAUGAAUAUCGAAUAGUGAAAGGCAUCAUGAAUCAUCCUACAUUUAGUUGGGAUCAUCAACGACAAGUAGUAAUUGCUACAGAUGCUGAAUGGAAUGAUUAUAUCAAGGUAUAGGUAUACUAUUAUAUUAUUAUCAUUAUGCCGAUAUGGAUACUUAAUUCUACUCGAUUUAAAGUAUCUUUUUUUCUCUUACGCAGGUGAAUUCAGAAGCGAAGAUCUAUCGAUGGAGAACAGUACCGUAUUUUCAUCAGCUAGAAAUCGUUUGUUCGCGAUAAAGAGGAUAUUUUAUUCAUCAUUUGUAAAAAAAGAACUUUUAUUUCGCCAAAAUACAGCUAACAAUAAUUUUACCAUUGCAACAUUUGAUAACAUCGCAAUUUGAUUGUAGUAUUGGCUAGUGCUCCUGCAGUUGUACAAAGUUUCAAUCAAAGCAAUUGCUCCAAGUUCAGCUUAAUUUUUAAGGAAUCAAAUUGUUCCUUGUUAUUUUCUAGUUCAAAUAGUUCCACUAUUUUUAGAUCAUAUAAAUCCACCAUUCAUAUCUAUUUAAAACUUCAGACAAAGAUCAAAUGUUUGUGGUCAUCAGAAGAUCAAAUGUUUUGAAAGAUGAAAUACAAGCUCAUGCAUCAAGUAACAAAGAAAAAUCUCUCAAUCCAUGCGAUCUGUUUUAUUGCAACGGCAAGCUAGGGGCCGACGAUGCCUAGUACUUAACGACACUCUUUGAGGUUCGCAGCAGUCGGUAGAGUGUGCGGUUGGGGACGAUGUAGAACACGUCGCCCGUGUUGAGCAGCGCGUCGGGGCGGAGGACCAGCCGCGGGUUCUGGAACACCCGGGGGUCGGCUAUGGAGUGCCUUGGGUUCCGCGCCAUCACCUCCGCCGCCGCCAUGGGCUUCCGGUGGACCUCCACGAACCCACCGGGGUGGACGAGCUUCAGCACGCCGCGCUCGCGCCCCGCUACGCCCAUGGUUGGAGGUGGUGGUCCACUCCCCCCCUCCCUCCAACCACCACUUGCUUAAUGUGUGUGAAACUAAGCAGUGAUGGGGGAGAGACAGGAGCGCGAAGAGCUCAAACCUACCUACUGCUUUUUAUACUCAGGAGUGGGCAAAGUAAAAACAAUAUUUGAUCACCGGAUUUUUCAUCUAGGACUUUGUUCAAAGAGUUCUACUAAGAAAUGUUUUUGGCUUAUUGAUUUUGUCCACUAUCCCUUUCUGUUAGAUUAUUGGUUUUCACGUUUCCAUAUUGCGCCACGACGUACGCUCCAAGACACCAAUGUCACCAAGAUCAUUAACUUCAUCUGCAAAGCUUGUCUUUGUUGUUGGCUUCUACUGCUUCAUACUUCACUAUCCCUACUAUCCCUACUGAUCUUGUAAUGGUUCCUAGUGAGAGGAAAACAUGGAGAGAUAGGUUUAUAACCUCUAGGCACACUUCCUUUGUUGGACACUUUUAACAUUAUACAGGUUCGAGAGAAAUCAGAAGAAAAUUCGAUAAAGCAAAAGCAGAUUUGCUAUUCUUCCAUCAGUCUAAUACGUUUUCACGACCAUUUUUAAGGCCUAAAAUGUAGCUUUUAUGAUCGUGUCAUCUCACAUCAUCACAUUCUUUAUCUGAUAUUGUUAUUGCUAUUCUGAUUAAGAAAGUCAUACAUUCAAAAUAGCUAAUCUAAACAAUCCCCAUAGUGAAGAUCAUACAGGUUCGUGGCUCAAUGUGAAAACAAAAGAGAGAAUACAAAUCUACAUAAAUUUGCAUAAUGAUAAUAAAUGAAAGAAGAACAGAAUGAGAAUCAGGGAACAGAACAAAUGAAGCUUGAAAAUGAAAACAACCUUCCUCAACAGUCAUCACAUGUGGUUAGAGUGCUGGUUAGAGUGCUAAAGGUGCCAGUGGAUAAACUAAGGCAUUUUACAAUCGAAAAGAACAACAAAACCAAUAGUUGUAGAUACCAUAAGCAUAGUUAAAACAUAGAAUGCACUACUACCAUAAGCGAACAAACUUAUCCUUUUAUUAAACAGAACAAAGAUAGGUAAGAAAUGAAAAAUAGUAGCUUCAAUUUGUAUUUUUCCUCCAGAUCUUACACCAUUACUACUGCAAUUCCAGAUACCUUAAAAAAUUCGGAACACGUAGCAUCCCACAACAUCCAAAAAAAUUAAUCUUAUUACUAACGUUAGGGCUGCAGCAACAUCACAACGGCCUUCAUCAUUGCAAACUUUCACGAGAGGGCUAUAACAAAUUUGGCUCCACAUAAUCCACGAAAAGCAUGUGAAAUAAGCAGAGUCAUACUCGACGAGAAUUCAUAUGUAAGGUAACUUUGGAUCAUUCUAGGCUCCAUACUACCAACACAAGUUCAGCGCGAGAAAGAACGAAGCGUACAAAACUAAUCCUCUCAAGCUACUGAGGCAAUGCCUCUUCCACCUCCUUCCACAUAUCCGCAUUCCCUGAGAACUUCUCCUUUAUCUUCUCCACAAUCUCCUUAGCCUCCUCAACCUUCGACGCGCUCACGAGCCCGUUAACGAGCAUCUUCAUUGUCGAGAAGCACGGAAUCCAGUUCCUCGCCAUAGUCUCCCUGCACAACCCCAAUGCCGUCUCAAAGUCGCCGCCUUUACAUAGAUAAUAGAUCAAAGUGAAGUAAAACGCGCUAUCCCCCACACACCCUCUACUCCGCAUCUCCUUGUAAAGCUUCUUCGCCUCCUCCAAAUCCCCUUCUUUGCAGAACCCGUAGAUCAAAUGGUUGUAAGUGACCCAAUUCGGCUUCAUUCCCUUCCCCUUCAUCUCCUUAAGCAAGGCCAUGGCUUCCCCGGGGCGCUUGAGCUUGCACAAGCUCUGGAUCCGCACAUUGUAGGUGGUAAGCCCCGGGCGGCAAUCGUGCUUCUUCAUCAGCUCCAGAACCUUCUCCACAUCGUCGAAGCGCUCUUCUUUGUAGAAUCCGGCGAGCGCGGUGUAGAAUGUGGUCCGGUUGGGCUUGAUUUUAGCCCGGGACAUUUCGUCGAGCACCGAGAAGAAGGAGCGCGAGGUGCCGGACUCGGAGAAGGACUUGAGGACGGUGUUGUAGGUGUCGAGGUUAGGAUUUAUGCCGUGGGAGGCGGGGAGGUCGCGGAAGAGGCGGGGGACUCGGUCGUGGUUGCGGGAGAGGAUGCAGGCGAAGAGGAGGGCGUUGAGGGAGGGGAGGUCGGGGUGGGAGCGGAAGGUGCGGAGGGCGUCGUCGAGGAGGCCGGCUUGGCCGAAGAGGACGAUGGCGUGGGAGAGGUGGCGAGGAGGGGAGUGGGGGGAGAGGAGGAGGGAGUGGAGGAGGGAGCGGAGGUGGUCGAAGGAGCGGGAGGCGGAGAGGGAGGAGACGGCGAGGGAGAGGGCGUGGCGGUCGAGGUGGGAGGAGGGGGAGAGCGCGGCGGCGCGGCAAAUGGCGACGAUGCGAUCCGCGUCGGCGGCGGCGGCGUCGGGCGCGGCGGAGGAGGAGGAGAAGGUGCGGCGGUGGCGGAGGAGGAGGCGGAGGCGGUCGGCGGCGGGGGAGAACGAAGACCACGACAUGAUUAGGGUUUGAGAGCUCGGGGAUUAGGGUUUCGGGGGGUUUUGGGGAAGGAGAGGGAGAGGUGGGCCGGAACGGUCCACAUUUUCACGGGCGAAACGGGCCUGAGGCCUGGCCGACCCGGCCUGGCUUGUCCCCAACUUCGGGUUGCUUAGCUUACAGUGUUAGGCCCUCGUCACAACCGUCACACUGAACCGUACAGGUAACAUUUCAAGCUCAAUAUCAUAUUUUUAUGAAUCAGUUUUCGUUUUUCGUCUUUGUUUGCAAUGUCAUUAAAUAUUAAGUUUGUGAAUAAAUAAAAAUUUAAGAUAAGCAAAGAGAGAAUUUGAAUUUGUUCAUGCAUGACUUAAUUACUGUAUAAAUUAGAUUUAUAGAUCACUUCCACUAGAUCAAAUAUCUUAUUUUGAGACAAACAUAGUACAUCAUUUGCUUCAUUUAUAAAAAAAAAAUAUAUUAGGUUAUAAUGAGUGAGGUAACUGUGCCUCGAGAUAAAGUGUGAAAUAAUAAUAAAAAAAAAACUACAAUUGUUUUUUUUUUUUUUUGAGAAAAAAAUAGCACGCUACCCGCUUCAUUUAACAGAAAAAAAAAAAAAAACUAUAAUUGUUGAAAUCAACUUGUUCAUAGACUGUGCGAUCAUUGAAAUCAGUUCAUCACUAGUUCACUGCUCGCUGCAUUACCCGGAUCACAUCCCACAACCUCUCUAAACAUGCCAGCCAUCGCAUAUGAAAUGAACCCCUUCUUCUUAGUUGCGCCGUCCUUCGCUCUAAACAGUUCCCAGAACUCGCCGCCAGCUCCAACCACAGGACCCAUAGGUCAAAUAUUAUAGUUGCAUACCCAACUUAAAAUUUGAAUAUACAUAUCAAACUUAAAAUUUGGAUCUAUCAAUCCUUCCGAAAUCAAAGUUUAUUUCUCUUUCUACGGCUGCAAAUUGUAGGAAGGAAAAUUAAUCUUCUUUGAAAUUAAUGAGAAUCGAAAUGAAAUCCUCUCAAAUCAAAUAAAGAUAAUAGAAAUCAGUUAUUCUAAUUCUAGAUUAGAUGAGCAUAAAUCUUACAUAUUUUCCAAUCCAGAGAUCAACAAUUUCACACUGGUAUAAUCACUUGAGCGUACAAGCAGAGCAUCCCCUGAGGCAAACUAAUUCCUAGGAUGGUAGUAAGGGAAGACGGUGUAGAAGGUCUGCAGGAAGGUGAAAACAAGAACGAAAACUGCUGCGAUCAAGGAAAGGAUGGCCCACGGGUUGCCGAAAUAGUCCCUGACCAGCUUCGCCCUCCACUUGGGCCAAUCGGAAUCGCAGUACUUCCUCACGUCCCGGAACAACCCGGCGAGGUAGUGCUUCUCGAAAUCCAUGGCGGCGCAGUCGGAGAGCUGGUUGAAGAACACCGCCAGCUCCUUGUCGCUCGCCAGCUUGUUCUCCAGGAUCCCGCUCUGGUGGAGUAUCGCGACGUCUGCCGGCGUGUCGAUGAUGCAGUCCAUGAACGUCGCGUAGCUCGUCAUGUACGCCUCCUCCGGCUUGCACCCGCCGCACUGCUCGAAUGCCACGAGGUUCGUGAACCGCGAUAACGUCGAGUUCUCCACCGAGAGGAAUGGGAUCUCGAGCACGCCGUCGUGAAAUGCGACGUCCAGGAACGAACCGGGAUGAUGCUGAUCACUCUCGUUCCUUUUCCUCUUCUCGCCCUUCCUCUUAAACGUCACUCCGGCCUCCUCGAGCUCGGUCGCGGACGGAAUCGUAUUCGGCGAUCUUUUCUUAUCCGCCGGCGCCUGCGAUCGGGAAAUCUUUAAUCGGAGAUAAGAGAGGAGGGAGGCGAAGAUCUUAGUCGGCUUUAACCAUUUGAGAAUAGUACCGCAGAUGGUACUGCCCCUCGGGUCAGUUUGUGGUUUCGUGAUGUAGCAGCGGUAGUAGAGAUGCAACAGGUGGUGGAAAUCUUUGGCUUCGCCGUGCACGGAAGCGGCGGCGGCGGAGACGCGACUGGCCAGCAUCUCUUCCUCGGGCCUCUCGACGUUUCUGCUCGCGAGGUAGUUCACGAGAAGCUCCAUCAGGGAGGGUAUCUCCUCGUCGUCCAUGGUGAACGUGACGAGCUCGAACAGCUUCUCGAGCACGAAGAGGGGGAUCUGGUUCUCGAGCAGGAGCAGGUCGCCGCGCACGAGCGGCAAGCUCCAUCCGGCGGUGCAGACGCUGUCGUCGUCCCCCUGGCUCCACUUGAUGAUGAACUCGAGGACAAAGCACCCGUCGAGGAGCAGCAUCUCCACGAACUUCUCGGCGCUGAGCUCGACGGGCUCGAAGUAGCACCGCCGCGCCCGAGGCUCCAGCUCCCGGAUCUCGGCUACAUGGCGCGGAGGACGGGGCGGUCGACGCGGCUGUAGGGGUUGCGGGAGAGGAAGUCCUGCAGGUAGCGCCACUUGUGCUGCUCCAUGGCGCGGAGGACGGGGCGGUCGCCGCGGCCGUAGGGGCCGACGGACACCAUCCGGGGCUCGUAGAGGUGCGUGUUGCGCUGCCGGACGUGGGCCGGGACGCGGAAGAUGGUGAAGCUCUCCGGCGCCAUCGGGUUGCGGUUUAAUCCCCUGAUGUUCGACCUGACGGAGCUCAGCACGGCCUCGUCGAUGUCUAUGGCGACCGCCUCUCCCUGAUCCUGUGCCAUCGCCGGCGGCUAUCCUGUGCAGUCGAAGAUCGUCCUCGGUAUGUAAUCUCCCUCCCUAUAUUAGUACCUGUUCCAGAUCCAGUCGGCACAAAGGGGCAAUAGUAAAGAUUUUCUCUAAGAAGAAAAUUUUCUUUUUUCCCCUAAAAGCUUGUUAGGGGAAAACGCACUGAAUUUAUUUGAACUAUACGUUUUUAAAAUUUUAAUAUAUUAUCUAAUUUUUAAUUUAUUAAGUUAUAAUCGGUUGAUUUUUUUUUAAUAAAUAAUAUAUUAUUUAGUGAAAAGAUAAACUAAACUAUAUGGACGAAACAUCGCAGUGCAAUGGGGUCGAUAAUAUUUGAACUGCAAAAUUUAGUGCUCUAGGAUCGGUUUGUUUUUUUGGGUUGCGGAUGAGCCUUUGAAGAAGCAAAGGAAGAAGCAAAGCUUAUCCGCUUUCCUGUCUGUCCGGACCGGCAGCGCUUGGGCACCCCAUCUCUCCCCCAACUUGCCUCGGUCUUCAGCCCACGCUGUACGACGCUGAAACGCAUACCAGUUAGGGGUGUAAUGUGGGCCGUGCCGGGGCGGCACGGCCCACAUUUUUCGUGCCAAAUCGGGCUAAGGUCAGGCCCGGCCCGGCCUGAAUUUAAUUCGGGCCGGGCCGUGCCGGCCUAAUUUUUCUAUCCUCUGGCCCGCACGGCCCUUUGGCCCGAAGGCACGGCCGUGCCGGCCGGGCCGUGCUUCGGGCCGGCCUAUAAAAUAUUUAUUUUAAAAAAAUAAAUAAAUUUGUAUUAUUUAUUUUAAAAAAAAAAAAGAAAAAGUUUAUAGACUUUUGGUCCAAUGGACCAAAAGUCUUUUGUCCAUUGGACCAAAUGUCCUCCUCCCCAGGUCUGCUGAGGCAGACCUUGGAGGAGAGCUCCUCGGGAGAGGGCCGAGCCCUCCUCCACAGGAGCUCAGAACUCAUGGCCCAAGGCAAUUGCCUUGGGCCAUGGGAUGCGGGCCGGGCGGCCCGGUGGCGACGGCCCAAGCGGGCCGUGCCGUGCGGGCGCGCCCGCCACCCUGCGGCCCGGCACGGCGGGCCCGAUUCGGCCGUGCCGUGCCGGGCCGUCGGCGCUCUCAAAAUGGUGGCCCAGCACGGCCCAGGCUUCGGGCCGGCGCGGCCCGGCACGGUGCUACAGUACCCGUGCGUGCUGUGGCCCGGCCGAGGCCGUGCCGGGCCGGCGGCCCACGUGCCGCCGGCCCGUUUUAAUCCCUACAUACCACGCACGGCUCGGAUGCCAAUUACAGAUUAAUUAUUUAUUUUAAUAAUUUAUUAUUAUAAAAAUUAUAUAAAAUAUAUUAAAUAAAUUUAUAAAAAUAUAUAAUAUAUUAUUUUAAAGUAAAAAUAUUCUUUUCUGACUCAAAUAAAUAAAAUUAAAGAUUGCGUAAUAAAAUCAAACUCUUGAAAGAUUUAUUCACUAAAUUAAAAUAGUUUAAAGACUAGAUAAAUUUUUACAUUAAUUUUUUAAGUAAAAUACACAAAAUUUAUCUAAACUAUAGAUUAUUUUGAGUUGGUUUACUCAACCUUUUAAAAUUUUAAUUUUAUUAUUUAAUAUUUCAAUUUGUUCGAUUUUGAGUCAGCUAACAGUAUUUUGAUUUCAAAAUUUAAAUAUAUUAAUUAUUUUUAUAGGUUUAAUUAGUAUACUUUAUAUAAUUCUCACAAUUAUAUAAUUUAUUAAAUUAAAUAGUUAGCUUACAUUUUGAAGUCAAAAAAUCGUUGAUUGACUCAAAUUAAAGAAAUUAAAGGAUUAAAUAAUAAAUUUUAAAAAUUAAAAAUUUAGAUAGUCCAUUUAAAAUUAUUUAUAAUUUAGAUAAAUUUUGUAUGCUUUUAUCUUUUUUUUAUAAAUAUUUUUCAACGGAAAUUAAUAAAAGCAAGUAAAUGCCUAGAGUGCCAUUGUCCGUUGAUUGUGAGAAGUGGGCCUUAGAUGGCUCAGUGUAGUUUCUAGAAAGACCUUAGAGAUGUGGGUUGGGUGAAUAGGAGCUCUCAACAGGUCCUUUUGAAUGUGGUCGAUAUUUAGAAUACUUUUUUUCGAAAGAUAGAUAGCAUCCUACUCGCUUUAUUUAUUUUAUUUAGAAAUAAACUUAAUUAGAAAUGUGAAUUAAUUAGAAUUUGAAUUUGGGACCUCGGGUUUUAACCACAAAGUUCUUUACCACUUGCUCUAGAAACGGUCGGUCAGAAUACUUAAACGAGUUGGAUUCUUUUUGGGGAUUUCAAAUUCUCCACCUGUUCGAGUCUUAAAAGGUUCAGUUCUAAUGGUAGACUAGACAUCUUUUUCUUUACUAUUGGUGGUUUCAUCACCACUGAUUCCAGAAACUUUGCGUUAACAGAUUUGAGUUGAAUUUUUCCAUUUGGAAUGAAUGGGAUUAUAUCGGAUUCACUUAUUUUCUUUUUUCCAGAGGAAAAGGAUUUAGCCCCUAUUGGAUUCAUUUCACCGAUAGAGAAGUUAAACAUAAACCACUAGAAUUCCGAUCUCAAGUUAUCAGAUUCAUAAAAAAAAUCCACCCAAAUCUGGUGAAAUCAAUUCUAAUCAUGAAGAUUCCAUAGAAAGAAAUCAAUGAUAAUUGAAUCGGAAUUCAUAAAUUGAAGGUACUCUAUGCAGAAAGUGUAAAUUAACACAGAGCAACAUAUAUUCCAGCUACUGAAAUAUCAAAUUUAAAAACGAAAAAUGAAGGACCAAAAAAGGGGCAACUACGUACGUAUCAAACACUAUAGUUUAUCUAGUUUGUGCACUCAAGGUGAAGUAUGGACCCAUCUAUAGAAAAUUGUGUGAAAAAGAAUAGCUUUUUACUUAAUUAACAGAAGGCAAAUUCAAAAAAGAACCUGAUGCUCAGAUAAUCAAAUUCAAUGUAGAAUAUCUAAUGGCUUAAUUAUGAAAUUAUUACAGGAGCAUUAAUUAUGAGCUUACAUCACAAGCUAGCUAAUAGCGUAUGUUAACACAAUACAUAUUUAAACUAAUGAGAAAUGACAUGUGAAAAAUACACAAUAGUAAUAUUCGCCUCCAUCAAGGAACGAGAUUAUUGCGAAAUGUUAGAUCUCAUGUGUAGAGAAUAGAUAGACUACAACAUUGCUCUUUUCCAAACAAUCAUUCAUUGGAAACUAUGAAUUUUUAUACUUUUGUAUUGGCAAACAGGAUUCCCAAUAAAUCAACAUAUGGGAUUGCUCUCCUUCGGUAGGGCCUUGCGUCAGGAUUUUGCUGUGUAAAAAAAGAAAGGUUUGAAUAAAUUAGAUCUUAGUAUUAAAUAUUUGAAAAGGUGAUGUGAUAGUGUACCUUGAUAUAUUCAUUCCAUUCAGCAUCUUUAGCAAUUACUAUUUGACGCUGAUGAUCCCAGCUAAACUUUGGAUGAUGCCUAAUAUUGUUCACUAUUCGAUAUUCACGUCUAUAAAAAUUGAAGCGCUCAAACAAAUGUUUAUAUUCAUACUGCAAGUCAGUUGAUUCAUUGAACUUGGCUACUAUGUUGCACCAAGAAUCCUCUCCACCGUGUAGUAUUUUUUCCCGCCCUGCAUUUGAAAUUUGCUCCACAAACAAACUAAGCAAUACUUUAUCAUGCUCUUUUUCCCAUAUUGCUAAAGGUUUAUCUGUUAUUGUAAUUUUUUUCCUUGCUGAAAUUACAUUUGGCCUCUCUUUCCUAUAAGUAAACAAAAGAGAAACCGAAACUUACAAUUUAAGAAUUUUAUUUCCCAAGAAAUAAAGAACAUUCUGAUCUUAAAAAAAAAUAAAUUACAACCAUUAGGAAAUAUUCAGAAAGUUAGUUCUACAGUUGCAUGAGAAAUAACAAUAACCAUAUGAUGGCAUUCAUCAUAAAUGAAUUCUUCUUGCUACUGAAGUAAAGGAAAAGUAUGACGCUAAUAUGUCAUGAUUCUACUAGGAAACUUGCAAACGUAACUUGUUCACUCUGUGCGGAACAUGAAAUAGCCUCAUUUGAUCAGUUGAUUAACAUAGAACAUGCGAUUACGAAUAUGAAGUCAAUCUUACAAAUAAUUGAGCUUUGAAAUGAAGACUAUAUAAAUCUAUUUUCAAUUGAGCUUGAGAUGGGGCCUUUUACGCGUAUAUAGAAACUAAAUGUUAAAAAGCUAAAGGUCGUGGAGACUAACGAACAAUUGAACUCUCAUAUGGCGGCACUCCAGAUCAAAACGGAUGAAAGUUCAUCAACUAACUUCGGCUAAAACAUUGUUGAUUUUUCUUCUUUCGCACAGGGAAAGGAAAAAAAAGGUCUCUAACAUCAAAAUUCAUUCAGGGGUCACUUGUAAACAAUAACUUGUUAAAGCAAGCAGCAAACUCAGAAGAUAACUACAUGACAUGUUUUCAAAUUCAAAACCCAAGAAAUUACUAGUUCAACGAAAGUAAUUAGUCCCUUGCUGCAAUCCAUUAAGGUUUUUGGACUUAGAGCCAUUCUCAUGCAGGUGCUACUCAUGGUCUCAAUCACUAAUAACAUCCAUGCUGUACACUAAGGCAUGGGAGCACAUAAAUAAUUUGAAUUUUUUUAUUUGUAGGGUCUUGGUAAUUAGUUAAUCUUUUUGGGCAACGACUUCGGAAGUCAAGUUUUCUCCUAUCAAGGAGUUAUCUGAUGAAGCCUCAUUGAUGAAAAAAAAAAAAAAUCAUGGCCUAGCUAGUUAAGAUUCCAAACAGAAAAAUCAGUGAUAAAUGAUUUGAAAUUCAAGAACUGUAGAUACUCAAUGCAGAGAGUGGAAAUUCACACAAAACAACCUAUAUUCCAGCUAUUAAAACAUCAAAUUAGAAAUAAAAAAUUAGACUGAGGAGAGGGAAGCUACGUACAUAUUUACUCUACCUCUUGGAACGAAAUUGAGGGCUGCGCGCUUAAGGUGGAGGAUGGACCCAUCCUCGAUACUGUAGUCCGCCAGAGAUUUGCCCCUCUCCAGUAGUUGGCCGUUGAAAUAAAGCGCAGUUGCUGCCUGCCAAGUUGGAAGAACGGAGACUAGAACGGUGACUAGAACAUCUUGGAUGGUGUUAGAGCUGUCCACCUCAAGCGCAUAAUUUCCAUAAUGUUCUGACUGCACAAAGAUUUUCAUUUCACCAUCUCCGUCGGGUCUCAUAGAAGAGCUAGACUCUGCACAGUUCAUCUUGGCUAUUUCUGUAGGACUAGUGAAGUUGCAUAUGUAAUACAUGUUAGUUUCUUUGUAAUAGAAUUUCACAAAGAUCCUAAGAUAUUUCUUGUACCAGUGCAUGCAUAUAUAACAAACAUUAAUAUUACUUCGGCAAAAAAGAAAAAUUAAGUUACAAAUUUGAUGGCUUUUGUCACAUGUAAAAGAGAUACAGGAUAAUUUGUUUAAAUUUUCUUCUUUCUUUUUUUUUUUCCUCUAGCCAUCUUAUCGAGCUGAUAUUCAGUUUCUGAUGGAAAUAAUCAAAAAAAUUCCUUCCCUUUUUUUUCUCUUUUCAAAAAUAAACUAAGUUUUUCUUCGUAUACUAAGUUAAAGCUUUUACUAAAAUACAUAUAUAGAUAUAGGGCCCGUUUGCCCUAAAUUCUGAAAAAGUAAUUUCUGCAGAAUUAAAUUUGAUUUUGAAAAUUAAUUUUGCUUAAAAAUUGUAAAGGGUCUGGCUAAGUUUAGAUAGAAAUCAUUUUUUCUAAAAAAAUUUUAUAAAUCUAUUUGGUAAAUUUUUCUUUUUUUCUGUUUGCGAAUAAUCGGAUAGAAGAGUUUAUGCAUCUAACACAAUAGGGCGGACGAGGACUACAUCUAGGAUAGAAGAGUAGCUCUCAGUUUUAUGUCUUAAUUAAUUUGUUGGCUUCAUGACCAUUCAAUUCAUCACGAUGUUAAAGAAAGUUACAAUUCAAGAAACUCAUGCGAAGUAGACAUGUAGUUGAAUCUCUUUGCUUGCAACGAGAAUGUAAUUUCCAUCUUUAGGUAAGAUCUUUAAAUCUGGGCCUAAAAUUAAUCAUAACCAAACCAAUUUAAAACCAUUUGGAAUCAAAAUCUAAGUUACUUAAUUUCAAAACAGAAAGGGAAGCAUACUCAUAACUAUGUGCCAACACCCGCGGAGUGCACUUCAGCUGAAGCACGGAGCCGAGAUUGAUUCCGUACUCGGCCAGGGUUUUCUGCUUCUCCAAUUCCAAGUCAUUGAAACAAAGCCUCGGCUCUGGCGCUUGCGCUGCCCUGUUGAGGCCGAGAAUCUCGACCAGCACAUCCUCGACGGUGUUAUCGCCGUCCGCUAGAAGAACAUAGUUAUGGACGGCGCCCAACUGCACAACGAUCUCCAUCUCGCUUGCGAAUUCAGGUUCCCCGACGGAGUCCCAUGGUUGCAUGUUGGAAUUCGACAGUUCCGCGACGGAGGCCGGCAACUCUACAGAAUCCGCCAUCUCCAGCGUUCCUAUAUAUAUAUAUAUACGACUAAACCAAUUAAGCAACAACAAUUGCAAUAUCAUGUUCGCAUGCAAACAUUGUAAAUCACUGUGAUAAUAAUAGUAGUUAGUACCUUCUACGAGGAAGAAGAAGAAUAGUCGUGUGAUGUUCCAAUAGUUUAACACACAAAAGAAAUUGCAUACGGAACUCACAUUAUGUGUAAUUGGGGUCCGACACGUUUACUUGGCUCGCUGUUACAAUUCUCUCGCUGAAGCUUCCUUCUCUCUGGCAUGCGACUAUUCUAUUUUCUGCACGUGGAAGGUUAGGAUAAAUUUAGAUCGAGUCCACGGAGUAGCGUAGGUUUGGACAAAAUUAGAUAAGAGUCUGACUUAGAAUUUGGUGAAAUGCAAAUAUGAAUGUCAAAAUUUAGCAUUUUUCAAUAUAUAUUUGUACUCGAAUUCAUAUUCAAAAAAAUAUAUAAAUAUGGAUACACCCUAUGAAAUAAUUAUUUAUUUUAGUAAAAUUAUAGCUGCGAGAAUUAUAUAAUAUAUAUUAAGUAAAUCUGUAAAGAGAGAUAAUAUAUUUAAAUCUUGAAGUUAAAGUAUCGUUGAUUGACUCAAAUCAAACAAAGUUAAAAAUACGUUGGAUAAUAAAAUCAAAUUUUUGAAAGAUUGAUUAACCAAAUGAAAAUGGUUCAUAGUUCAGACAAAUUUUUAUAUUAAUUUUGUAAGUAAAAAUAUACGAAACUUAUCUAAAUUGUAGAUUAUUUUGAGUUGGUUUACCCAAUCUUUCAAAAUUUUAAUUUUACUAUCUAAUAUUUCAAUUUGUUAGAUUUGAGUCACUAAUAGUAUUUUAAUUUCAAAAUUUGAAUGUAUUAUUUAUCUUUAUAAGUUUAGUUGGUAUAUCUCAUACAAUUUUUACAAUUAUAAAUUUAUUAAAGUAAAUAAUUAGCUUAAAUUUUGAAGUCAAAAGGCCGUUGAUUGGCUCACAUUAAGCAAAUUAAGAGAUUUGAUAGUAAAAUUUAAACUUUAAAAAGGUUAGAUAGUCGAUUUAAAAUAAUAUAUAAUUUAGACAAAUUUCGUUUGUUUUUAUCUUUUUUUUGUCUAUACUUCAUCCAAGGAUAACAAUGGAACGGUGCAGUGUUGUCAACGGAAAUAAAAAUGGAGUGCUAUUGAUUGUGAGAAGUGGGCCUUAGAUGGCUCAGUGAAGUUUCUCGUUAAGACCUUGGAGAUGUGGGUUGAGUGUAGACCUGGCAACGGGCGGAUUGGGUAACCCGUGGACGAGUUAUUAUAUCCGCUGGUUACUUGUAAAAUUUACUCGCAAAUUUUUGAAUAGCCAACAUCUUUAUCCAUACUCACCCACGGGUGGGCGGGUGGGUAUACGGGUUAUCCACAAUUUUUUUUUUUUGCUUUUAUUUUUUUAAAAUGCAAAAUAUAUAUAUUAGUUUAAAAAGCGUAAUAUAAUCUCAUUAUUUGAAAUAUCAUAACAUACAAUAAAAAUAUUUAAAGUCUUAAAGCAAAAAUAUUUUAUAAUAUAAAAGAUACGCAAUAAGAAUUUGGAUUAGAAUUUUUAGGAUAGGUAAAUAAAAAAUAUAUAUUAAUUAAGAAAAUAUAUUUUGUAAUUAAAAAAUAUAUGUGCGGGUACCCAUGGGUACCCGCGGGUUACGCAAAAUGCCCACUGCUUAAUGGAUACCCACCUGUUUUACCCGUAAUUUUUUGGGUUGGAAAAGUUGGUAUCCAUACCCAUAAAUUUAUGGGUAACCUGCAGGUACCUGUGGGUUUUGGUCAAAAUUGCCAGGUCUAGUUGAGUGAAUAGGAGCUCUCAACAAGUCCUUUUGAAGGUGUCCAAUUUACGAAGAACUUAAAAGAGUCGGAUUCUCUUUGAUAGUGUUUGGUUCGGGAACAAGGGGGGGAAUAAGCCCUUGUUCCCCCCUUUGUUCCCAAACGCAAUGUUUGGUUCCCGGAAGCUUAAAUUUUCUUCUUUUUUUUUUUUUUUUUUCCUCUAGCCAUCUUAUUGAGCUGAUAUUCGGUUUCUGAUAGAAAUAAUCAAAAAAAUUCCUCCCCCGCACCCCCUCCUUUUUCUUUUUUUCCACUUUUCAAGAAAUAAGACAAAGUUUCUCUUCAUACUAAGUUAAAAGCCUUUUACUAAGAUACAUAUAUCGAUAUAGGGCCGUUUGUCCUAAAUUCUGAAAAAUUAAUUUUACAAAAUUAAUUUUGAUUUUGAGAAUUAAUUUUGCUUAAAGUUGUAGAGGGUCUGGCUAAGUUUAGAUAAAAAGUAAUUUUUUUAAAAUGAUUUUGUAAAUCUAUUUGAUAAUUUUUUUUUUCUAUUUGCAAAUAAUAGGAUAGAAAAGUUUAUGCAUCUAACACAAUAGGACGGACGAGGACUACAUCUAGGAUAGAAGAACGCAACUAAAGUUUACCCAAAUUUAACCAAACCAAUACUAAUUAAAAUCCGGGUCUAAAUUUCUAGAAUGGAUUUCUCCCUUUAAUGUAAGAGCAACGUUCGUUUCUCUAAGUUGAUGUACAGAUGAAGCGUACUCAAAGAACUUAACAUUGAAAGAAAUUGUAUAACUUACCAGUACUUCGGUUGUUUAAUUAACUCUGUAUUUAUUUUGACUCUCGAUGAGAAGAUAGGAUCUACAUCAGGAGCAGGCAGGAUAACACAAUCUACGUAUUUGAAAAGAUAGGAUAAUNUGUUCCUUGGCGACAAUAACGAAGGCGGGGCCGUCUCCUCUUCCUCCGCCUCUGUCACAUCCCGGGCCCAAGUGGAAGCUUAUCCGGCACGUGUACAGACCCGUUGUGCGCACAAGGCACCCCUGGUGCACACAAUGCGUCUAUCACAAAACAUAUAACAGAGAAGGAAUGAGAGAGAUAAUAAGGAAAUAAACCUAUCAUGGUAAUCAGAGCAUAAGUACUAACAAAACACUAAAGCAACAAUCCAAUAGAGGAAAUAACGAGUUACUACAACAAAAGGGUACAACUAUUAUAAGAUAUACAUAAGUUGAUAAAAGAAGAAAUACAUCUCAGAACAUAUGGUAGUUUCUAUACAAAAUGGUCGGGUACACCCUUCGGGACAAAACAAAGAAAGGUGACCACCUAAGCAAAAAACUUCCAAAAAGGCUCUAGCUAGUCGCAACUCCCUUACCGCGGUCCUUACACAUGUGCUACAGGAAGCUGAAAACAAGAUUCACCUUACACGAGAGCGACUGAUCUCGGCUCAGAGUAGACAAAAAAGCUAUGCUGAUAAGUGUCGGCGAGAAUUGGAAUUCCUAAUAAGAGAUCAUGCCUUUUUGAAGGUCUCACCGACGAAAGGGAUUAAGAGAUUUGGUAUUCGAGGAAAGUUAAGUUCUCGAUUUGUUGGACCUUUUCAGAUCUUGGAGCAUGUAGACCCAGUAGCAUAUCGGCUUGCUUUGCUGCCGAACCUAUCGGGAAUACAUAAUGUGUUUCAUGUUUCCACGCUUUAGAAGUACUUUUUGACCUAGCUCACAUUUUGAACUCCACUCUAUUAGAGUUGACGAGGACUUGAGCUUUGAGGAGCAUCCUGUGAUGAUUUUGGCUCAUGAGGUGAAGAAACUUCAUAAUCAUGAAAUUCCCUAUGUGAAGGUAAUUUGGAGCAACCAUAACAAGCGCGAGGCUACUUAGGAGUUGGAGAGUGUGCUGUAGGAGCGUUAUCCCCAUCUUUUCCAGAUAGAUUCUUAGGUACUCAACUUUUAGUUUCGCGGAGGAAGCUCCUUUUUAGGAGAGUAGAGUGUAGCACACCGAACUUUAGUAAAUUGCAAUGUUCCAGUGUAGGAAUAGUGCUUUGAGCUAUUCUGAAAGUUUUGAAGGUUGUUUGGAAUGUUUUGGGCUGUUUUCGGAGCUAGUUAGGCACGAGAACAGGUUCCCGACAUCAAAACUUGCAUAUUGCAGAUUUUGGUGUUGAGUACCGGUACUGGAUUGAGGUACCGGAACUCAGUAGAGUGCCGAAAUGGACAGCUCUCGGAUUUUGCAGAAUCUAGCUGUGUGUACCGGUACUCAAUGCUGCAAAACCUAAUUUCGUGCAGUAUACUAUUUUUGGGUUUUUGAGGGGCCUGAUGAAAAUUGUUACAUUAUGUAGUAUAACCCCUCAUCCCCCUCACUUGUUCACUUUUGGGCUGAGGUUAGAGAAAGGAGAAGGUGAGUGCUCUCUCUCUUGGAUUUCUUCCUCCUAAUCCCUAAAAUCCUUGGAUUUGAUCUCUUCUUCUCAAUCUUCUAUAUUGAAGUUUGCUGCUUGGACCUUGAAGGGAGCUUGGGAGUGAAGAAAGGAGCCUGUUUGAGCAUUCAACUCCAACCUAGCAUUUUUAGCUUGGUUGGAGUUUUUGUUGAGAUUAGUAGUCUUUUUAAAUCCUCUAAUUGUGAGUUUUGUAAGAAUUUUGGAAUAAAACCUAGUUUUAAGGAAACUAUGAUUUAUUUUGGGAUUUCUUGAUUUGAAUUUUUUAGGUUAAAUUGCUGGGUGUUGAACCCUUUCUUAAGUUGGAUUUGAAGCCUUCUGACUUUGGUUUGGAUCUUGGACAAGUUCUACUUGAUCAAAGGUAUUUUUCACCUAUUUUUCUAUUGAAUUUUUGGUGAAUUUCGUUGUAAACUUUUUAGAACCUUGUAAUCCUUUGAAAAUUUUUCUUAGGAUGUUAGGAGUCUAAGAGAUAACUUCGUUUGGUGAAACGAAUAAGUAUCGAAUAAUAUCCGGUGAGUUUGACCUUACCGAAAUGGAUAAACUCUUCCUAUAUCUCCUAUAUUGCUAUAGGAUUUAAAUUGAUGCAUAUUCAUGCUAUUCAUGACUAGGGGUGUAAACGAGCCGAACACAAGCGAGCUGGGGUCGGCUCGUGUUCGGCUCGUUUAUUAAAUGAGCCGAACACGAGCUGACUCGUUAAAGUAUCGAGCCGAAAAAUCCAGCUCGUGUUAACUGGCCCACGAGCUGGCCAACAAACUUUGAUAAAUUAAAAAGAAUGAAAUCGAAAAGAUAUAAAAAAUAAAUUUAUAAAAACUUCAAGUCAUAUAGAUCAUGAUCUAACAGUGAAAAUCGUACAUAUGAAAGCUCAAUUUUUCGAAAACAAAUGGCUCGCAUACAGAUGCCUAGUUUGCUAAAAAUAAAAUAAUAAAAAAACACAUUAUAUAUAAUUAUUUAUUUAUAUAUAAAAAUAUAAAUUAAAUAAAUUAUAUAAAUAUAAAAUAUAUGUAUUCGAGUUAUUAUCGAGCCGAAUAGGAGCGAGCUGACCCCGGCUCGUGUUCGGCUCGUUUACUAAACGAGCGAUUCGAUCUCGAGCUCAUUUCGAGCCGAACACGAGCUGGCUUGCGAACACGCGAGCUGGAUUGCCACCCCUACUUAAUUCCAAACAAAAAGGGAACAAAAAGGGAAUAAAUCAUACUCAUAGGUGUGUGCCAACACCCGCGGCGUGCACUUCAGAUGAAGCAUGCAGCCGAGUUCGAUUCCGUAUUCGGCCAGGGUUUUCUGCUUCUGCAACUCCAGGUCAUUGAAAAAAAGCCGCGGCUCCGGCGCUCGGCCCGCCCUGUCGCUGCCGAGAAUCUUGACCAGCACGUCCUCAACAGUGUUACGGCAGCACACUAGGAGAUGGUAGUUGUGGGUAGCGUCGGACUGCACAGUGAUCUUCAUCUCACUGGCGAACUGAUCAGGUUCCCCGGCGGAGUCCCACUUGGAGUUCCACAGUUCCGCGACGGAGGCCGGCAGCUCUGCAGUAUAUAAAUGACUAAACCAAUUAAGCAACAACAAUUGCAAUAUCAUGAUGUUCACAUGCAAACAUUGUAAAUCGCUGUAAUAAUAAUAAUAGUAGUUAGUACCUUCUUAUAUAUGGAUCAAUUAAUUAAUUACAGCGAGUCAAAGUAUCACAGGCCACAGCAACUCCGAGAGAGAAAGAGAGAUACACAAAAAUAAUAGAAAGAAGAGGGAGGAUUUAUAGAAAUAAGAGGACUUAGUGAGAAAGAAGAAGAAUAGUUGUGACGUUCCAAGAAAUUGUUCGUACGGAUCUCACAAUGUGUGUAAUUGGGCCCGACGAAAACGCGUUUACUUGAUUCACUGUUAUUUCUCUCUCUGGAAGCUUCCCACCUCUUUCUGGAGUACUACUUUUUUCUUUUCUUUUCUUUUCUUUUCUUUUCUUUUCUUUUCUUUUCUUUUCUUUUCUUUUCUUUUCUUUUCUUUUUUUUUUUAAAAAAAAAAUAGCAAACCAACAAAAACAACAAAAACGUACAGAGAAAAAAAGACAGCAACUCCGAGAGAGCUGACAUUCACUGUUAUUUCUCUCUCUAAAAGCAGCAUGAGCUUGAGAACAGAGCCAGAAAAACACGAAACAAAACAAAACAACAAAAACAGAGAGAAAAAGAAGAGUAGAGGAACAGAGAGAAAGGAGAGAAGGAGCAGGAGGAUAAAUUUUCUUUUUUUCUUUUUUUUUUUCAGCAAGUGGUAGUCGUAGGUUGGAAUAAAUUUAGAUCGAGUCCACACGGAGGCGUAGGUUAGGAUAAAAUUAGAUGAGUCUGAAGUAGAAUUUGAUGGAAUGCAAAUAUGGAUGCCAAUAUGGGGACUCAUCUGUAAAAAAUUAGGAAGCUCCUAUUUAAUUUACCUUUUUCUAUAAUCUCUUGUUAAAUAUAAAAAUAUUUAAACACCGUUCUCUAACAGUUUAAGCUUUUAGAGUACAACGAUUGUUUCACAUGGUAUCAGAGCAGGAGAUCCUGAGUUCGAGUCACGCCAGGCUCCUAGCAUAUUAAUUUCCUCCCAUUUAAUUCAAGCCCACGUCAUGGGACCCAGACGUGAGGGGGAGUGUUAAAUAUAAAAAUAUUUAAACACUAUUCUCUAACAGCUUAACCUUUUAGAGUACAACGGUUGUUUCACAUCUCUCUCCAAGAUACCCGAUCGCAUAAGAUGUUUACGCACCAUAUAAAUUCUAUAAAUCUACUAUUCUAUACAUAACCUUAUCGUGCGGACGCAUUCGUAUACGGAUGAAUUAUGAUUAGAUGAAUUAUGGUUAGAAAAUUAUUUAUGUACUUAUAUCAAGAUCAGUACUGUUGAUCUUAAUUUGAAGUAUUCUAUUUUCUUUUUUUAUAAGGUUUUUAAAUUUGAACCAUUCAUUUUGUGGCAGCAUGACGCACUUGACAAUGAUAUUAUAAAAAAAAAUUAUGAACUUUCAAUUCCUAACAACUUAGAAAAUCUUAGAUUACGCUUAAUGGUGUGAAUUACUGAUUCAAAAGUUCUAUUAUCGAAAAUAAGACUAUAACACAAAAUACUUUGUGCCGUUAAUAUAACGCUAGCUUAGCUUUAUGCUUUAAUUUUCAAAACUUUUGAGAGAAUUCACAUCUUCAAAGUCCACUAAUAAAAGAAGAAUUUUAAAAAUUCAUCAAGUAAAUUCAAGAUAUUAAUCAUUUUCCAGGACCAAAGGGCCAAUCAUCUCUUCGAAUAAAAAACAACUAAAGAAGAAACAAAUCCUUCACAUAACUAUGCUCCAUCAAAAUAAUUAACAAACACUAAUUUAACUUGAAAACUUAAUAUAAAUUUUUUGCUUAUAUUAUUCUUUGAAGAGUGCCUCUUUAAUCAUGGUUACAAUAUGUGAACUAUGGUAUGUACAAUAUAUUUGUGAUAUGAUUUGAUAUAGCAACCUACUAAGUUUUUUUUUUGAGAAAGAGGUAGCGAGCUAUCUGCUUCAUUCAUCAAGCAAAAUGAACUAAGCGUACAUGAUGAAAGCAGCUAAGGCCUCCUAUGAAGCGGAAAAAAAUAGAAAAUGAACAAGGAAGGAAAAAUAGAGCUAUAGGAGAAAGCUAUAGAGCUAGGACAGGUGAUGCGGAAACACAAAAGAGAGAUAUCCGGAAGAAAAAGAAAGGGAUCACAGGUCGUUCCCGGCAUUCAUCAAGGCAAGAACGUCCAGUCGUUCGUCAUCAAGCAACCUACUAAGUUACAAUCCAUUUGGAUGUAUAUGGUGGCUAAUAACAUAAUCAUAAUAGGACCAUCAGAUAACAUCAUAUAGUAGGUACUAAGAUGAUGCACAAUUAAAUUAAUGAGAAAUGACAUUCAAUAAAGUUGAAAUCAUUCUCAUGUUUACUUUGUGUGCAUAAUAGUCAAGUAACACAUUUUCAAAUAAUUGUUUGCUUUAUUACAGUUACAAUGCACAUUCAGAGUUUGUAGAUGACAAUGAACAAAAUGUAUGAAAAUAUAGUGUUGUUGUUCUUCUCCAAAAAGCUCUGCUUCGGGUUUUGCCUGCGCGAAUGCCCAAAUAGUUUGAAUCAAUUCAAGUAUAAAAAAGGAUCGAUAGUGUUGGAUAAAGAAUAAUAAUAAUAAUAAAUACGGUUAGUAUACCUUAAUAUAUCAAUUCCAUUCAUUAUCUGUAGCAAUUACUACGUGACGUUGGUAAUCCCACCUACGUGUUGGUUGUUGCUCGAUGUUGUUCACCGUUUCAUAUUCGGUUGUGUAAAAGCUCAACCGGUCUUUCAAAUCUUCAACUUCAUAAUUCGACGCUGUUGCCUUGCUGAAUCUAGCCACUAUGUUAUGCAAAGCAUCCAUUUUAAAGCCUUACCCGUCUCUCCCGCCAUUAUGCACAUGUUUUACCAUCAAAUCAAGCAGUGCUUUGGGGUAGCGUUCUUCAGCCAAAUUGCUAAAAGGUUGGUUUCCUCUUUUGAUGGUUAAUUCAUUGUAGUAUUAUUUUUGUCAGCUCUCUAUUCUGCAAGUGAAAUAAAACAAGAAUAUCCUAGAAAUACUUUUAGGGUGCGUUUGGUUCGCAUUAUGAAAGAUUACUAGGAAGGAAAAGAUGUCCGAGAAUCUUAUUCCUAUUCAUCAUAUUACUAAGAAUGUGGAAUUCCUGUGUUUGGUUCGCAUGGUCAUAUUAUUUAGCCAUGUUAUUUAAGAUUACAAAAAAUAUACAAUUAAUUAAUUUAUUUUUUAAAUUAAUUUUAGAUAAUCUACCAAAAAUUUCAACAUUUUUUUAGAAAAAAGGAAGAGAGAGCAUAGGUUAGAAAGAGAGAGCAUAAUUAAAAAAAUAGUAAGAGAAAUAGAGUCGAAAUUAGAGGGAGUGAGAGAGUUGAGAUUUUAGAAAAAGAGGGAGAGAGAAAGCUUAGUAAGAGAGAAAAAGAGUUAAAUUUUAGAGAGAAAGAUAAGUUUAGAGAGAGAUGUGAGAUUAUAGUAUGAAGAAAAAUAAUACCAAUUAGCCGACGGAUAGGGAGAAAGAAAGAGAUUAGACAUAUUAUGAUUACCCCAAUCCAUAUUAUAGGAUACCCACCCUUUCUCAAGAGAAUGAGAUUAGUACUUUGGGAUGAAUCUUAUUCCCAAGUAAAUCCAAUAUUACUAACUAGAUUACUUAGUGCGUUUAACCAAACACCGUCAUAUUUUUUUAUUCCUAUUGGAUUACUAGGAAUCUUUAAAAGAUAGCGCGAAUCAAACGCACCCUUAAACUAAAAUAACAGAGAAUAAUGAUGAUUGAAAAUAGUAGAAAAUCGUAAUCAUAGAACAUCAUUGUGGACGGCGUUUCGACUGCAUGCACAGUGAUCUCCAUCUCACUGGCAAAGUCAAGUUCCACAACGGAGUCCGGCGGCUCUACACAAUCCAUCUCCACCAACUCUAUAUGGACACAUUGUGUUGUUCAAAUAAUCACAUUCAAUAUAGAAAAUCUAGUGACUUACGAAAUCAUUGAGGGAGCAUUAAUAUAAGCUUACACUAAUGAUAGAUGCUAACAUAAAUACAUAUUUAAAUAGAUCAGAAGUGGCAUGCGCAAAAUAUAGUGUAACAAUGUUUGCCUCGGUCAAGAGGCGAGAUUAUUGUGAGAAUGUUGAGAUCUCAUAGCUAGAGAACGAAGAGAUUACAACACUAUUUUUAUUUCAAGAGAGUCACUCAUAGGAAAUCACGAUAUUUUAUUUUUUUUUCUCGACAAACACACUUUCAUAUAAAUUAAUAUACGGUACUUUUCUGCUUCGAUAGUCCUUCGCACUAGGAUUUUCCUGUGAAAAAGGAGAAAGGUUUGAAUAAAUUGGAAUUAAGUACUAAACACUUCGAAAAGCAAUGUGGUAGUAUACCUGAAUAUACUUAUUCCAUGCAGCAUCUGUGGCAAUUACUACUUGAUGUUGAUGAUCCCACCUAAACUCCGGACGAUUCUUGAUUUUUCCCACUAUUCCAUAUUCACGUUUAUAAAUCUCGAAGCGAGCAUGCAAAUGUUUUUCUUCAUAUUUCAUGCCUGUUGCUUUAUUGAACUCGGUUACUAUAUCACGCCAGGAAUUAUUUUUAUAGUCUAGUAUUUUUCUCCCUCUUGAUUGAAUUUGCUUUACCAAUAAAUCAAGCAGUAUUAGAUCAUGCUUUUCUUCCCAUAUUACUGAAGGGCGAUACGUUAUUUUAAAGUAUCUCCAAAUUGGCUAUCGUACAAUUGUCACUUCCCCCCCACUCGCCGCGACCUCUUCGCCAGCCAAGGCGGCCGCCUUGUCCGUUGAAUAUUCUGCGGCCCCUCCCCUCGCCGCAUCCGCCUCUUUGGCCGGCGAACGGGUGUCCGUUGACGUCUCGGGUGGCGGGUCGUUUAAAUUUUCAAACCUCUCCGCUGUCCCCGCAUCCCUAGACAACGGUGACAUCAGGGCUGCAGACUGCCGCCUUCAGCUUUCACGCCCCCCUUUCGCCAGCUGUUUUGCUAACGCCUUUUUGGCCCCUGUACCCGCGAAGGGAAGCUUCGUAUCUCUAUCCCAGGGAUCCCUUCUGGCAGAAUUAGACAAAAGGAGCUCUGGGGGGAUUUUCUUCUCCCUCGGGAACCGGCGGAGUUUCUUCCUACGAUUCUCUACAUCCUUCUCGUUUUCUGUGCGGCCCCCCUCCAAACUAGUUGUCGGAUCUCUCGGAUCCCUCCUUCUGCAUGCUUCCUUCGGGUCGGAUGUGUGGUUCGGAUCCGCAAACCUUCUCUCCUGCCACCUGGGACCCAAUUGGACCCUUAUCCGGCGCCCUGGGCCAGACCUAAGCUCGGGCGGGCUUUCUGCGUCCACUAAUGCCCCAUGCUGGCUCCCACCCUCCUGGUGCUUGGGCUUGGGCCGCGGCUCGGGCCCGGGCUCGGCCACGGGCGGCCUGGACGCAGGCAUCGUAAUGGACUUGGGCGUGGGCUUCGGUGUCGACUUGGGUGCCGGGUCGGGUGCGGCCCUGCGCUCAGGCUCGGACGUGGGCUUGGAGGAGGGCUUCGACGAGGUCUUGUCUGCGGGCCUGGAACCGGACCGGGGCGAGGGCUUGGGUGCAGGCCCAGACGAGGAUUUGGAGACACGACUGGGCGCGAGCUCGGCCGACGACUUGGGCGCGGGAUCACCCACGGGCCUGGGCGCCUUUAAGGCUCCAAGCGACCUUGCGGGAGGUUUUGGACCGGUCGAGCUCGAGCGCCCUGAGGUGGCGCGCGGGGACAGCGGAGGCAGCGGAGGGGCGGCGUCGGAAGGCGGAGGCAGAGGAAGCGGUGGGGGUGAGGGUGUUCUUGGAGGCGGCGAAGAAGACGGAGAGAGGAGAAUGGGGGCUAUGGGUUUUACGGUUCGGGACGGAGGGGUGCGGGGUCUUGUAGUUGGAGACGUCGCGGAAGAUGUGGCCGCAGCCUGGGCCGUCGGGUCGGGCGUAGAGGGAGCAAGCUUCGCCAUGGGCAUGGGCGCAGACUGCGGCGCCGGGUCGGGCUCGGCCUUGGGAGCGGGCUCGGCCUCCAUCGUGGACUCGGGCGCAGAGUUUGGCGCCGGCUUGGGCGUGGCGUCGGGCUUCGAGGCGGGCCGGGGCGCGGCCUUGGCCGUGGGCUUGGGCGCAGACUUGGGCGCCGGCUUGGGCCAAGCCUUCAAGCCCAAGGGACCUUGCGGGCCGGGGCGCUUGGGGGCGGGCUCGGCCGACGGCCUAGGCGCGGGCUCGCCUGCGGGCCUGGGCACAGGCUUUCCAACCUGCAGCACCCACCUGGCCUUGAUUUCCACUUGCAGCCACCCUCCCAACUUGGACCGUCCCACCUCGGAUCCACCCAGAUCUAGCGGAAGAGUCCGCAGCCAGUUUCCUGGCUCUGUUUUACGCAAGGCCAUGCUCAGAAAGGCGCAACUACUCGAAGGCGACCCAGCUAUUCCCAGUCACUCUACGCGCAAAUGGUCCAAGAAAAAAGUUAAGGCGAAAGGUCUUCGCUGCGGGGUGGACCUUCAUGAAGAGGCCGUUAAGGACUUCCUUGAGUUCCUGAGUGGGAAGGCCUAGGAGCGGCUGGAGGAGCCGCGGGUGUUGUGUUUCGUGUGUCUUUCCUUUCUGAUGUUUAACAUUUUGUGUUGGAAUGUUCGGGGUCUCAACGACCCCUCUAAGCGCCGUUGUGUCAAGUCUGUUGUCUCCAGUCGUGUUCGUUCUGUCAUCUGUCUCCAAGAAUCUAAAGUGGAUAGUGUGUCUCGCUCUUUUCUUCGCUCUUGCUGCGGAUCUGCUUUUGAUAGAAGCCACUUUAUUCCUGCAUCUGGGGCUUCUGGUGGGCUCAUCACUUGUUGGAGCUCCAAAUUCUUCUCUUGUAGCGAGGUUAUCGUGAGAAAGCACUCUCUCACUCUCCAUCUAUCUUGUCUCAAGAGUAAAAAGCAUUUCUUCCUCACGAACGUCUACGGGCCAUCUACCUGGGACGGCAAGGAUGAAUUCUGUCUCGAGCUUCUCUCUUUACGCGGGGUUUGCACUUCCAACUGGGUGAUCUGCGGAGAUUUUAACUUUACCAAAAAUCAAUCUUAACGAAAGGGAAACCUCUGGAGCUCUAAGGCGAUGGCUAUGUUCUCUGAUCUGAUUUCCAACUUAGCGGUCAUAGAUCUCCCUCUGUCCAACCAAAGCUUCACUUGGUCGAACAUGCAACGCAGACCCACACUGGCAAAACUAGACAGGUUCCUCGUUUCAACUGAAUGGGACCAAUCUUUUCCUCACAGCAAGGUCAAAGCCCUCCCUAGGAUCACUUCCGAUCACGCACCGAUCAUCUUAUCCACCGAAGCGCAACUCAUACCCAGACGAUUCCGAUUCGAAAGGGUUUGGCUCACUAAAGAAGAUUUCCACUCGAAGGUGCCAAUCUGGUGGAAUGAAAUUGCUGACAAGAAUUCGGGUAUCCUCACAAUUACUGCCAAACUCAGACACUGCCGAACCAGAAUUAAAGAAUGGUGUAAGACGAGUUUCUAUAGCAUAUCGCUCUCGAAGAAGAUUUUAGAGGACGAACUGCAUGACAUUGAUCUCUUAGAAGAACAACACGACCUCCCCCAAGAUCUAAUAGACAAGCGAGCCAAUCUCAAACGUCAUCUACUCUCUAUCUUGGGGGAGGAAGAAAUCCUUUGGAAAACUAGGGCCAAACAACAAUGGCUAAAGGAAGGCGACUCCAACACUAAAUUUUUUCAUGCAGUGGCUAACGGGCGAAAACGCUCCAACUCGAUUGAUGUGAUUGAAGACAACUACGGGAGAGAAAUCACCAACGAAGCUACCAAACGGUCAUUCUUCCUGCAAGCUUUUAAACAACGGUUUGGACAAGCAGACGACAGAGCGAUAUCUUAUGGGGAUUGGAGUAACCUUUACCUCUCUAAUAGACUGCACAAUGCUGACUCCCUUACGUCCCCCUUCACAAUCGAGGAAAUCAAAACCGCCACCUUCCAACUUGGAAGCGACAAGGCCCCGGGACCAGACGGCUUCCCCCUCUCCUUCUUCCAAACUUUCUGGGAGACUGUCAAAACGGAUAUUUUAAAAGUUUUCACUGACUUGCAAGAUAAUAAUCUCUUCACCGGCCCCUCAGACUACUCACUUCUUUGCCUAAUCCCGAAGAAAGAAGGAGCACGCAAGGCCAACGACUUUCGUCCAAUUAGCCUUAUCAAUAGCAUUCAAAAAAUCAUUUCCAAAGUCCUGGCUAACAGACUAGCCCCCACCCUGUCAUCUAUUAUCUCACCAACUCAAUCGGCUUUUCUCAAAGACCGGUUGCUGAUGGACUCGUUCGUAACAGCAAGUGAACUAAUUAACUGGUGUUCGAAGACUGGAAAGGAAUGUGUAUGCAUUAAAGCGGACUUUGAAAAGGCCUUUGACAACGUACGCUGGGACUUCCUGAAAAGCAUUUUGCACUGGCUUGGUUUCAACGACAAAUGGUGGGCAUGGGUUGAGCAGUGCAUCUGCAACGCCAAAGUAGCCAUUUUAGUCAACGACACCCCGACUGAUUGGUUUAAGAUGAGAAAGGGUCUUAGACAGGGCGACCCCCUCUCGCCCUACCUCUUUAUUUUGGUGGCUGACUGCUUAGCUAGAUUGACUGAUACUGCAAGGAAUAACAACCUUCUCCGUGGUAUUGGACCGUCCACUGAUUGUCAAACUACGCUGAUUCAAUACGCGGACGACACAAUUUUCUUCUCCGAGCCUAGAAAACACUUAAUGCGAAACCUACAGUUUAUUUGGUAUAUCUUCGAGUGGGCUUCAGGUCUGAAAAUCAACAUGGACAAAUCAGACCUGUAUUAUCUGGGCCCUAACCCCCAAAGAGCCAACAGACUUGCUAACAUCCUUGGAUGUAAAGUUGGGAAACUCCCGUUCCGCUACCUCGGUCUACCGCUUUAUAAUAAACACCUACGAACGGAAGAUUGGGCUCCGGUCAUUGAUCGCAUAUCAGCAAGAAUCGAGGGGUGGAAAGCCAAACUCCUAUCCUAUGGGGGUAGACUCACGCUCGUCAACUCGGUUCUCACUAACUUGCCGCUAUUUUAUUUCUCCAUCUACAAAGCGCCGCAAUGGGUUUUACACAGGAUCGAAUCACUUAGAAGAUCUUUCUUCUGGAAAGGCUGCGCUAGCAUCUCUGGAGGAGCCUGUCUUGUCAGUUGGAAGUCCAUCUGUAAAAGUAAGAAAGAAGGUGGGUUAGGGAUCAAAGAUUUGGAGGGAAUGAAUCUGGCGCUGCUAUCUAAAUGGUGGUGGCGCUUCUUCAACGAACCACAAUUACUGUGGCCCAAAUUGAUUUCAUGCCUCUAUUAUGUCAGAAGAAGACCUUUACAUGAGGGAAGAAGUUUUGUACCCCACUCGCAGUGGUGGAAAGGUGUUCUGCAAUGCCGCGACGCCUUCAAAUGCGGUUUAUCUUUUGAGCUUGGCGAUGGUCGGAACAUCAGGUUGUGGUCCGAUAUUUGGAUUGGUGAAACAUCUUUGAGCACCUUGUUUCCAGACAUCUACGCUCAAAUCGCGAACAAGAAAGCUCGGAUAUCUCAAUGCUGGAACCAUAAUGGAUGGAGAUGGCGUUUUAUCACUAGAGGCUUCGCGGCGCCCCGAUUGGCCCACAGUGGUAGACAGCUGCAAUUACUCAAAGACACACUUACAAGCAGACACCCGUGCAGCAGAGAAGANCAACGGCCGAAAACUCAAUAGUACCAAGGACUAGAUAUAUAUAUAUAUAUAUAUAUAUAUAUAUAUAUAUAUAUAUAUAUAUAUAUAUAUAUAUAACUAUCAGCAUAUAUUGAUAAAAUACAUCGAAAAUGAAUUCUUCAUUUAAUGUAUAAUAAAAUAUCAAAGCAUAAAUGCAUGUGACUAAUUAAUAUGUCCUGAUUACAUACCGCCCCAAAUGCAAUUAACAAAAGAUUUAGUGGUUGGUGUCCGAGCCUUCAUGUUUGAAUUCUAGUUGAUUCACAUUUUUCGAAUAGCAUGCUAUCUUUCUCUUAUAUAUAUAGAGUGAGGCUAUUAUGCUAUUGAUAGCACAACCUCACUCAUGCUAGUGAUUUUUCUAUCAUUGGAUUGCUUUGAGAUCCGUGAUAUAACUUAAUGGGAGAUUAACGGAGAGGGAGCCGUUAAGUUUCUCUCACGCUCUCUCUCCCCUCUCUCGAUCUUCCUGUCUCUUACUCCCCCCCCUCUCUCUCUCUCUCUCUCUCUCUCUCUCUCUCUCUCUCUACGCCUUGGUCCAGACCGAGCUUCGCCGCACGCCCCCGUCGCUCCCUGGCGCUGCCCCCCGCAUGCCGCCGUCGCUCCCUGGCGCGCGCACUUAAACGAGGUAUGAUUUUUUUUUUUUGUUAUUACAACUAAAAAAUAGAUCUACAACUUUAUAUUUGUUUAUUUGAUUGGUUUGAUUUGUUUUUUUUUUUCCUGAUUUUGUUUGUUUGUUUGAUUUUUUUUUUUACAUUUAACCUCUCAUAAAAAAAAUUUAAUUUUGACUUUUUUUUUCAGAUUUUUUUUUUGACAUUUCGUUUGAUUUUUCAGAUUUUGUUUAUUUGGUUUUCAGACUUUAAAAGUUCAAAAAUCUGAAAAUCUGAAAGGAAAAAAAAAAAUCUGAAAUGGUUAGCUUUUUAUAGUUAUAGUUAGUUUUUUAUAGUUAUAGUUUUAAAGGUAUUUCUUUUAAUUUGAUCUCUCAAAAAGAAAAUUCUGAAAAACACUAGCAGAGGAGGCUUUCUUUAAAAAAAAAAAACCGAGAGUUUCCAACAGAAUGCCAACAGAAUGCACAUAUAUUCGAAUUUUGAACAUUCAAAGUAAACACUAGUAAGGAAGGCAUUUUUAAAAAAUUCAUUUAAAUGCUUAAACUAUUAUAUAAAAAUGCUUUUAAUAUUAUAUUUAUAUUUAUAUUUAACAUGUGUUUGUGCGGAUGCAUUUUUUUUUAGUAAAAAUGUCCGGAGAAACCAACUGUACCUAGUGCAGUUUGCUGAGGGGAUGAUGAUUGCUACUGAAGAUUCCAAGUAAGAAGUCUAAUUGAUUUAGAUUUCUAAUUAAAUUCAUUUCUAAAGAAAUAAACAAAGCACUCAAGCUUCCUUUUUCUCCACAAAAAAAAAAAAAAAAAAAAAAAAAAAAAAAAACAAACAAGGAGAACCCCUAACUUAUAGGCUAAAUAUUCCACUCCGCCCCUUCUACUUUAGUCAAAAAAUAAUUAAGAGUUUUUAUCAAACUGAUUGAUGAAUUUAUUAAAAUAAUAAUUUACAUCAUUUUUUUAGAGAAUAGAACUAGACAAAUUAACAAAAAAUAGAGUGAAUAAAUUUGAUAAAAAAUAUUUUUCUAAUUAGGAGCUGUUUGGUUCUACGGAAAAGAAUGGAAAAAGUUUUUAGAUUAAAUUUUUUUAUGGAAAAUCUCGUUUAAAGUUUUCCACAUGUUUGGUUCUAAGGAAAAAAAACUUUUUUGAAAGGAUUUUUUUUCCUAAAUUUUAUAAAGAAUUAGUAUUUUUGUUUCCUGAAAUUUUUUAGAAAAAUAGAAACACUUACUUUUCAUAAAAUCUGAAAUUUUUUUUUUUCAAAAAAGCUAUUCUUUUAGAAUCAAACAGGAGAAAAUUAGAAAAGUAGUUUCUUAUAAAGAAUCUUUUUCUUGAAAAAUAAUUUUCUAUACUUUUUGGAGGAAUCAAAUAGCCCCUUAAAUAUAACCCAAGAAAAAAAAAGAUGAAGUUGAGGGGAUGUCAAUUAAAAAAAAAAAAAAAAAAAUUUUAGUUUUUAUAACUAACAUUAUUUAAUUUUAAAAUUUAGAAGUUGAGGGGUCUCAAUCAAGGGAAAAAAAAAAAAAAAAAAGAGUUAAGGAGUCUAUUUUAGAAUCGCCAAAAUUUUCUCUAUUUGGUUGAACAAUUGUUUUUCUCCACCUAUUUGUUUUGAUUAUCUAUCCUAUCAUCAAUUAAUAAACAUCUUUAAUAGCUAUGCAAUGUUUGCUUGAUGCUAUAUGCCUUAAGAGCUAUGCAAUGUUUUGUUUUGUUUUUCUUUUUUUUUUUCCAACACACAGGGGAUUGAAUCACUGACCUCCUCCACCCUUCACUCCUCUCCCCAAAACAAUACACAUCAUCUACACUAGCACAUCUACACUAGCAGCUGGGUGUAGCUAUGUAAUGCUUUAAUUUGGGGAGUUAGUUUGCAGUAGAAGGAAAAUUUUGUCUUACGUUUUUUGCUUUUUAUCUUCUUAUUUUCUUCUUUUUUAUUUUGGGUAAAUUGUAUAGAACUUGCUUGGACUGUGGAUCAUUCUGGAUUGGUUAUACAACCUUCAAAAUUAUCUUCUGUGAAUAAAUUAUCUUUUACAAAGUAAGCUCCUUAAAUUGAGGGGCUUCUAUAUUCCUGAAUAAAUUAUAUUCUUGAAUAAUAUCGUAUAUGUGAAACAAUAAAAGAUUGGUUAACAAAAGUGUAUCCGCACAAAGAGAGAGAGAAGAAACAGAGAGAUGUAUCCAGAGAGAGAGAGAGAGAGAGAGAGAGAGAGAGAGAGAGAGAGAGAGAGAACUUUGGUAGGUGAUGCUAGUAACAGGCUAGCAACACUUUUGGAAUAGAAUGAAUUUGUUGAAUUUGAUAAAAUAACAACACCUUUCUAUUCCUUUUUCUUUCUCAUAUUCAUCAAGUGUUUUUUUUUUUGUUUUUUUUUUGGUUCAUACACAACUGUUCUUCAUUUUCAAUCCACAUUGGUGAGUCAAGGUUCAUUACAAAUUUUUGUUCACUGAAUUAUAGGGUGACAUACAUACCUCAAUCUGCAAUACAACAAUGGAAGCCAUAGAAGGGAUGGCCCGUCUAGAAGUGCCUCUAAUUUCUGUUGCUGAUGAUGUUGGCACAUCUAGUGAAAAGGUCAAUAGCGGAAUUGCUGAGGAGGCUACUAGUUCAGUCACCGAAUCGAGUAUGAAUGUGGAUUGUUGGAUUAAAGAGGUGGAGAAAAAAUGCAAGGGCGCAUCCGAAGGUUUGCUAUGGCAGUCCAAGAUGCCCGACGAUAAAGGAGAGCAGUUAUCUCAACAAAGGGCAGUGGCGAUAGGGCCAUUUAAUAGGGACAAGAGCACACAUAUUACUGAUAAAGAAAAAUAUUUGAUUGUCCACCUGAUGAAUAAUCUAUACGAUCAUCUUGACUUGGAAGGCUGCUUCAAAAUGAUAAAAAAUCAAGUAGUAGAUGCUCGCAAAUGGUACUCCGAUUCAGAUAUGCCUGAAAGCUUUGGCUCUACAAAUGACAACACAUUUGCAGAGAUGCUGCUGCUAGAUAGCUGCUUCAUCUUGUUUAUGUUGACGUCCAUCAGUGAGAUUCAUAGUAAAGUGACUCGUGAGGGAGUGAUUCUACAUAGACAUUAUUGUUCAAAGAGCCUAAAGAUUAUGCCGGGUAAGCUGUUUGGAGCCGAUUCUUCAAAGAAGCAGGAGAUUAAGCUGGCUCUAGACGUCGUGCCUAGAUUUGCCGGCAUAUUACGUCACAAAGACAUGAUCAUGGUGGAUUUGCUGACCCUCCAAAACCAAAUCCCUUUCUUUGUGAUCGAGGAGCUAUUUAAGAAGCUCCAGUUGGAGAAUCCACUCCAUAAAUAUGCCCUCAAGUUCUUCAAGACAGUCCAUCCAAGGUCCACGCAAGGUUGCAAGGGCAAAAAUAGUCCUCCCAAAUUCCUACAUUUGCUCCAUCUUUUCCACUGGUCUCGAGUCCCAAAGAAUAAGUGUGAUGUACUUAGAUCAUGGCGUCCCCAGCUAGAUGAUUUUUACUGGGAUUGCAAAACUCCGAGUGUGAUGGAACUUGGAAAAUCCGCCACAGGGUUCAGAAAGAAAACAUCAGGCAGCUCACUGGAUAUCUCAUUUGGGAGGGGUAGGCUUCUACCCAUUGUCCCGGUGCUCAACAUCCCACGCUUACACAUCCGUGAAUAUAGCAGCCGCAUCUUCCGUAACCUCAUUGCUUUUGAGAUGCAACGUCCAAGAUCGGAUCGCCGCACCAUGGCUUUUUCUGUAAUUAUGCAGAACUUGCUGCAAAGCGAGGAAGAUGUGAAGCUGUUUCGGCAAUGUGGCAUUUUGGCGAACACAUGCAUGACCGACAACAAAAUCGUUAAUUUUUUCAAAAGCUUGAGUCUAUCGAUCGGAAAGGAUGAUAUGCCAAUCGAUGUGUAUGUCUUUUGUCAUCAGGUCCUGUCUUACCACAAUGGUCGAAUCAGUUGAUUCCGUGCCAACGCCAUUCUCAAGUACUUCCCCAACUGGUGACUUUUUCUGUGUUCCCAGCUCCCAUGCUUGUUGUUCUUACCCUCCAGCAAACCCUAUAUUCUAUGCUCAGCUUCUAUAUAUCAUUGUUGAAUGCCCCAAAUUCUACUCAGUAUGAUGGUAAUGCAUGCAUAUAUAUAUUAUCGAACUAAAAAACAUUUUGUACCAAUGUUUAUGGACCACCAUCUUGGGAUGGAAAAGAAGAGUUCUGUGAUGAGCUCCUUGCUUUGGGAGCGGUUUGUUCCAACUAUAAAUGGGCUAUUUGUGGAGAUUUCAAUUUUACCAGAAACCAGGCUGAACGCACCGGGAACCGGGGGAGCAAUAAAGCGAUGUCAAUGUUUUCAGACCUCAUUUCAAAUCUCGAAGCCAUCGAUCUGCCUAUUGCCAACCAAAAUUUUACUUGGUCGAACAUGCAAAGCGCACCGACCCUGGCCAAACUGGAUAGAUUUCUUGUCUCGACGGAGUGGGAUCAAGCUUUUCCGCUUACCAGGAUUUCCGCACUACCUAGAAUUACCUCAGAUCACACCCCUUUAAUACUCGAUACUGGAAACUCGAGCACUCAGAGGAGAUUUCGGUUUGAGAGAGUAUGGCUUACUAGGUCGGACUUCACAAAUUUCGUACCAAUCUGGUGGAACGAAGUAUCUGGUCAGAGGUCUGCCAUCCUUACGCUGACGGCGAAGUUAAGACAUUGCAGAAACAGGAUGAAGGAAUGGUGUAAGACGAAAUUUCAUAGCAUAUCCAUCGCGAUAAGAUCUUUACAGGAAGAAAUUCGGAGCAUUGAUCUUUUGGAGGAAAGGAACAUCUUGACCCAGGAAGUACGGGAUAAACGAGUUGACCUUAAAGCGCAGCUCCAACUCAUCUUAAAGGAAGAAGAAAUCCUGUGGAAAACGAGAGCUAAACAGCACUGGCUAAAGGAAGGAGACAGCAAUACAAAGUUUUUUCAUGCAGUGGCCAACGGGCGGAAGCGUUGUAAUGAGAUUCACUCUAUUGAAGAUGAGGACGGAAGACAAUUCAGUAACGAAGAGCUUAAGAAAUCCUGUUUCUUUCAAUCCUUUAAACGUCUUUUCGAAAGUGUGGAAGAUGACCCGCCGUCUUUCGGCGACUGGGCCGACCUGUAUCGUGGAGACGUCUCACUUGACACGGAUUCCCUCACAAGCCCCUUCACUAUAGAUGAAAUUAAAAAGGCGACUUUUCAACUGGGAAGUGACAAGGCGCCUGGUCCCGACGGCUUCCCGCUAAUUUUCUUCCAACACUUCUGGGAAACAGUAAAGGAUAACAUUCUUGAUAUAUUCAGAGACCUUCAUAGCGCGAAUCUCUUUACGGCACCGGUCGACUACACGUACGUAUGCCUAAUCCCCAAAAAGGAAGGAGCACGCCUGGUUAACGAUUUCAGACCGAUCUGCCUUCUGAACGGAAUACAAAAGAUUAUCUCGAAAGUUCUUGCGAACAGACUUGCGGGGGUAUUACCUUCUAUCAUCUCUCCUUCACAAUCAGCGUUCCUGGAAAAUCGACUAUUAGCUGACUCGUUCGUCACUGCGAGUGAACUUCUCAACUGGUGUGCAAAAACUAAUAGGGAGUGCGUCAGUGUUAAGGUGGAUUUCGAGAAAGCUUAUGACAAAGUCAGCUGGAGGUUCUUGCAAAGUAUAUUACGAUGGCUUGGGUUCAGUGACAAAUGGUGGAACUGGAUUGAACAAUGUAUCGGCAACGCUAAAGUUGCAAUCUUAGUAAACGGCUCGCCGACUAACUGGAUGAAAACAAGGAGGGGACUGAGACAGGGGGAUCCACUAUCCCCCUACUUAUUCAUUUUAGUGGCUGACUGUCUGGCUAGGGUCACGAAAGCAGCAAGGGCUAACAGUUUACUUCAGGGAAUAGGACCCACAGACGAAUGUCAAACAGUAAUUCUGCAGUAUGCGGACGACACUUUAUUCUUCGCAAAGCCCAAGAAGUCUGCUAUGCGCAAUCUACUCUUCAUCUGGAAGAUGUUUGAAUGGGCAUCUGGUCUUAAGGUAAAUAUGAACAAGACGGAGCUUUACCACUUAGGUAUCACCGCUAACAGAGCGAAACGAUAUGCGGAUAUUUUGGGGUGCAGAGUCGGUAGCCUACCGUUCCGCUACUUAGGCCUUCCGCUACAUAUCAACCCCCUUCGUAAGGAAGAGUGGAUGCCGAUCAUCAACCGCAUCGAGACGCGCAUUGAAGGAUGGAAGGCAAAACUCCUCUCUCAAGGGGGGCGACUCAUCUUGGUCAACUCGGUUCUUUCAAAUCUUCCGUUAUUUUACUUCGCAAUCUUCAAAGUACCGCAAUGGGUGCUGAAACGAAUUGAAGCGCUUAGAAGAUCUUUUUUCUGGAAAGGGUGUUCCAAAAUUUCGGGUGGGUCUUGCCUCGUUGGUUGGAAAACGAUUUGUAGGAGCAAAAAAGAAGGAGGUCUAGGGAUAAAAGACAUGGAAGCGACGAAUAAGGCGCUUUUAGCAAAAUGGUGGUGGCGCUUAUUCAACGAGAAAGGUCUGUUAUGGGGGAAGUUGAUCAAUGCAUUAUAUUACACCAGAAGAAGGCCGCUAUGUGAAGGCAGAUCCUUCAGACCGUACUCUCAGUGGUGGAGAAGUGUGAUGAACUGUCGAGACGUGUUCAAGUGCGGUGUUUCAUAUGUCCUCGGUGAUGGGAAAAAUAUCAGGUGGUGGUCGGAUAUUUGGAUCGAUGAAACCCCUCUCAGUACCCGAUUUCCACGAAUCUUCAGCAGUAUCAUACAUCAGGAAGCCACGGUCUCACAAUGUUGGAACGGAAGAGGAUGGAGAUGGCGCUACUUAACCAGAGGCUAUGAUACUCGUACCAUUGGUCAGAACUGCCAACAGACGGCGUUGCUCAAAAACCUUCUCUCUCACUUUAGCCCAUCAGAUGCACAGGACAAACUAAAGUGGCGGUGGACUACCAACCAAAUUUUUACCGUCAAAUCUCUCUAUGAAUUCAUCACCGACGGAGGACAGACUGAUACCUCGUACGACCACCUAUGGGGCUUAAAAAUCCCACUCAAACACAAAGUUUUCAUUUGGAUUCUACUACGAAAGAGAUUACCUACGGCAGACAGAUUGCUUCGCCGAGGAUGCAUCGUGGAUCAGCAAUGCAGGUUUUGUGUGUCACUAACUGAAACCGUCGACCACCUAUUCCACGACUGUAUCGUUGCCAGAUUUUUUCGUUUUAAAGCAAGAGUUCUAGAGGAGGAGAUUUCGGAAGUGGGGGAUGUUUGCCACCUGUGGACACUGAUCUCGGACAUACCCGUGGCCGUUACAAGAUCAAAAUUGUUAACCAAGCUGGCGGCAAUUUGGUGGGUCGUUUGGACGGAGCGCAACGGCAUAUGCUUCCGCGACGUGGCCUUUAAUGUUUCCAGGGCUCUCGAACGUGUCGCCGUUUUGACCGAAGCCUGGAACGAAGCACUUUGAUUAUCCUCCGGGCUGGGUGCCCUGCCCGUGUCUCCCCUUUGCUGAUUUUGGUUUGCUCGUGUCUACUGGGUCUCACGGACCUGGUUUUUUUCUCUUAUUUAUCUCCUUUCUUCCUUUCUCUUGUUCCCUCGGUUCGGAGGCCCUAGCUGCUUCCAAUUUGUAUGCUAAAUUCAUUUUGCUUAAUGAAUGAAGCAGGUAGCUUGCUACCUUUUUCUCAAAAAAAAAAAAACAAAGUGUCUUUGAUAAACGAAAAGCCAGUGAACUCCGUAGGGAACAUUUGAUCACAUGGGAGAGCACGCUCUAAUCAAAUCAUCUUCCCCGGCCAAAUGUUUCUCCAGCUAAAUAUUUUCAUCUUUUUUUUAAAAAAAGAAAAGAAAAGAAAAUUGAUAGAUGAAUGGGCAAGUAAGGUCAUUCCUUGUGAAAUUCUCUCGACAUAAAAAUUUGAUGAGAUCGAUGGAGAAAACAAUAAGAACGAUAAGAAAUUUAUUGGUUCGGCAAAUCCUUUCAAGGAACUCUCUCUCAGGGAUCUCUCUUUUCUCUCCGACGACAAUUUCACAUGGAGGUUGUAAGUUGUGGAAUCUAAAACAAUGGUUUCGAAACAUAACACUCCAUAACAAGUUUCAGCAUGCAUGCCAUGUUCUGGAACUUAAGUUGUUAGUUCCGGAACAAAGCUCACAUUCUUGAACAUGAAUGAGACGUUCUUGAACAUGAGUUCUCAGACUAGCCUCCAACGCCUUCGGAUUCCACGAACCGUUGCCUCAUAUUCCCAAACACACUUUAUACGAUUUCGAAACAUGAAUCUUGUGACCUGAACACUCGACUCUUGAUCAAUAUUGAAUCGACUCGAAACGUGACUUCACCUCGAUCUAACAAGAUCAUUCCUAAGAAUGAUCAUUCUUACUAUAAAUUUACUAGUAUCUCUAAUCACUGUACUUCCAACUACGUCUGUUUUAGUAUGAAUUGAAAUGCAUUUAGCUACAAAUAUAGCAAACCUAACCCACUCCUCUUUAAAUAUAUAUAUCUCAACACUUUGGAAGCUUAACAAGCCUUAACUAUGGUGUAUGAUUUUGAGGGUUACAGUUAAUGACAACUUGUUAGCUCGAGUGGCGUGAGCCAAUGGCUCAAGUUGCAUUAGAAAAACAAUGAUAAAGGUCCCAAGUGCAUUGCACCUUCAAAAUAAGACACCCCCCUGCGGGAAAACAUAUGCGCAUUUUCGCAUUAAUUGUUGUACUCUUCUGACACGAAUAUUGUGGCGUUGAUUGUUUCCGUGUACGUAAGAGAUCAUGUAAGUAAUAUCAAUCAGUAAUCUGUAACGUGCAGAUGAUUAAAUUAUUCGACAUUUGUAUCGGUUGCAGUUUAAAUUUCGAGUAUUCUUUCCCGUUACGACAGAAAAAUGAAAAGUUCGAUCUUGAGAUUUCCGAAGGCGGAGAAUACUUUCGAUUUAAUCCAUACCACCGUAUAGCUUAAGAUUUCCGUCGAUCCUCCUACGUUGAUUCCUGCACCACUUUAUGUCCAUUUCUUUCUUUGAUGAUUCCUGCAUCUCUUUUAUGUCCAAUUCUUAGUUGUCCCCUUUCCUUGGUACUUACAAGGCAAGAUACACAUGUGCAACAGAGAUAAAGAGAGAUGACACAGAGAAAUCAAGAACGAAACUGGAGGGAUUAAGGUCGAUAGGACGAUCUGUUUGAGCCUCUUUUCACCCCCUCCUCGAAGGCGAAGAGAGCGCAGAUAGGAGGAGCAAGAGAGGAAGGUUUGAUGGCAGGUCAUUUCGGCUCGGAUGCAGUGCUGCUGGUGGUGGUGCUGGCGGCAAUUCUUCUACUGCUCCCUUUGGUGCUUCCUCCGCUGCCGCCGCCACCGUCGCUGCUCCUCUUAGUGCCCGUCGGGAUGGUGCUGCUGCUCGCCUUUCUCGCUUUCGCCCCCUCUCACAACACCUUCGGAAACGCAAACUUUCCGCAAUGAAACAAAACAUCCAUCGGUACGUAUCUCGCGACCGCAAACACCUCUCAUUUGUCUCUUUUCCUCUUUCACCUUUACUUCCAGAAGCAUUAAAGGAAAGGAGAGGAAAGAUGAUAAAAAUGGAAAGCGACUAAAAGACAGAUUCCUUCUUAUCACUUACUGAUUAUUUGUUGGUUCUUCUACAUCAAAUACUAUUUCCAUCAAUGUUGUAUUUGAUUCUUCCCCUCAUAGGAUGAGUGAAUUAUUUUCUGGGAAGAGGCCUUAGGGAGAACUUUUGCUCUGCCCACGGCCAAAGAUCAAACACAAAUUUACAUGUGAAGAGGAAAUAAAUGGGAGAAGGGAACAAAAAGGGAGGCGCCCGUCGGAAGCAGGAUGAAAUAUAACCCCUACCCUUGGAGCAGCUGCGGUGGUUGCGAUUGUUCGGGCGGACUCUGCAGCGGAGUCAAGCAAUAGAGGAAUAAGCCGGCAACGAGAACUGCAGCACCAGCAACGAAGCCCGCUGGGAGCGAUGACGCCACUCCGAUGUAUGGUAAGGGCAGUGUGAAUGCGUAGAUGGACAACGGAACUGCACCACAACCAUCAUCAACAAACUGUUACAUUUUCCACUUAAAAUGUACCUGGUUUUGAAAGGUAGAAGGGAACGGCGGAAGAAAAGAAAACAGAGAAAGACCGGUGCUACUAGUUAGAUUUGUUUUCAUUGACAUUUGCAAAAGUAAUUGAUAUGUUGAUCUUCUGUAACUCCGCAAAUGAUCGUUAUGAACAAAACAAUUCAUAUCUUCCGAAAUCAAAACAAGAGAAGCUAAUUGAUUAUACAAAACGUGCCGAGUAAGACUUCACCAUCAGGUAGCAUAAGGAGCUCGAGAAAAUUAAAGUAUCAUUUUGUCACCCAGGGCAUACCAAUUUAGACUAUUUUAUCUCUGAAAUCAAAUGGAGAAUAACAAACGAAGCUGAUUUAAUUAUUUUUGUCAUAAUAGUAACUAAAAAGGAACCUACGAUGUCAGUGAGUAAAAAUACCCAAGCUUUUACCCGGAUCAGAACCUGAAUGAGGCGGUUUUAACCGAACAUAAUUAGGGACAGUUUCAGUGAUCGGAAAGAAAUUAACAGAUAAGGCAAGGAAAACAGAUAGCAGUUACAUAGAGAGAGAGUAAUGGGAAGACCAGAGAGCUAACCUGAAAAUGUGGAAGCAAGGCAAGAUACCACUGCAGAAGACAUUUUGAGAAGGUGUAGCAAAGAUAUGUUGAAUGCCAUGUUAACUAUUACAAAGAGAAGCGGCAGCAGCGGUGCUCCUUCACAUCCUGCAAGAAACCAUCAUUAUUAGGAACUUUAGUUGGAAAGAAGGAAAAAGAACCCAGCAGAAGCUGAUGUGAAAUAUGAAUUGUGAUAAGUACCAGCCGAUAAUGAUCCUAUAUUGAGAAAACAAGCUGCACCAUCUCUUAUGUAUGUAGGCAGGAGAUGGAAUGGAACUCCCCACAACUUAGACAAAAGGGGUAGAAGAAGACAUAUAAAGAAUGCCUGCAAAAUAUCAUUUUUAAUUGUUAAGAAAGUUCAAAUUCCAAUUGAAAUUUGGGUUUCAAGUUAUUGUCAAAUAUGGUAGGCACCUGGUAAGCAGAUCCGAACGAGUUGACAACAAAAAGAUCAACCGUUCCUCCCUGUGGUAUGCAGAUUUUGCUUGUUAGGAAGCAUUAUAAGUAUAAAACACAAACGAAGAAUUGAAAAGGUAAUAUACUGAUAAGUGAAUAGUGACAAUAUUUUGCUAUCAUAACUUCCGAGAAAGAUGAUUAUGGCCAAGAUUGGGAAUAAUUCUCCCAGUGCAGCAGCUUUGAGUUUUUAAAUCACCAUACAAAUCUGAAAACGCCUGAAAGCUCCAUAUCUUCCUAUGUGCCCAAUAACACCGAAAAUGUGGCUGGACAUUAGAUUGAUAUUAAUACUGGAAGGCUGGAGAUCUAAAUUGCUUUCAGAUUUUUAUGGAGCUCCAAAGUACCCAAAAUGGCUGCUACAGGAGAAGCAAUCAUAAUCAAGUCCUGUAUAGUGCAACACAAAGAGAUCAAUAAUACCAACGAGUGUACCUUCAGCUUCUUUGCAGCAUCCAAGAAUAUUAUCUCCUACAGAUUAACAAUGUUUGACUGCAUCAGAAAAAACUUAUCUUAACAACUUGGGGUAGUGGAUAUAAUUUCUCAUAUCUACUUCGGUAGUUUUGAUACCUUCAAAACUGUGUCGGCAGCUUGAAACAAAAAUGAAGUAAUCAUCAAAAGGGGCCAAAAUAUCCCAGAGCCUUUAAGCGAAACGCUUGCACCAGAUCCACUGCAUAUGUCAAAGUGAAAGUACUAAUAGUAGAAUGACUCAGAAUUAUAGAAAGUAUUUACUAAUUUCUACUCAUAGCAUCAGAACAGGGUAUCUCUAUAGCACUUCCACUUUUCAUCAAACCGGCCGAUUUUAGGGAAGCACUUCCAAACUAGACCUUAAGGUACUAACUAUUUUCUGGUCAUGCUACCAAUUAUGCAUCAUGCAUCAUAUGGAAAUAAUCAUCAAUAUAGAACAACUUACUGCAAGGAAGAGUACAUGUCCCUGCUAGAAGUGCAAUGCAGCUGACAACUGUUUUAGCAUGCUUGCAUAAUAUGGUCCUUGAACUCAUCAUGAGUAAUUAUAGAAAAUCUGGUAAUAGAGUAAGAAUUUCUAUUUAUUGCUUACAAAUAAGUGAAUCAACUUUCAGUAUUUCAGAGGAUGCUUAUAAAUAGUUCAGAAGCUUCUCAUUUACAAAGCCAAUGCGAACAGGGCGAACAGGGCAAUUUCAGUUAUUAUUAUAACAAAAACUCAAGAUUUGAAACAUUUCUUUCUUCUUUGUGCGUUAUACGGUCAAUGAUAUGUUACUGAAUUCAUAUUCGCUGAAUAUACCUUGCUACAGUUAUAAUGACACCAAUAGCAACAAGUAAGCAUCCUAGUAGCUGGUUGGACUUGUAUCGUCUCCUCAGAAAAAUAACCGACAAGAUAAGCUGCCAAACAAGAAAGGUCUGCAAAAAGAAACAUUACAAACUAUUAAUUUUGAAAUACACAUAUACCUGAAAUCAUAAAGGAUGUAAAACAGUGAAAAGUUUAUUCACCUGCGAUAGUAUUGGAAUUGAAGCCCCGGAAAGAACAGCUGCUCCAAGAAAGAGUGAGCAAAUCAAACCAAGUAUGAUAAGUAUUAGAAAUUAAAAUUGAUUCACUUUCACAAAAGAACUCCGAAAAAUGGGGGAGAGGUUAAAAAAGAAAAAGAAAAAAAAUAUACUGAAACUCAUGGGAUCUAACAACUUUGUGUGUGUGUGUGUGUGUGUGUGUGUGUGUGCGCAUGUGACAAUUUGUACAUGGACAAUAGCAGACAAUAAAUUGGCCAGAUAUCACUGUAUACUUUAUAGUGUCAAAUGUCACUAUGAAUUGGAAAGCAGUGCGAUAACAACUUGUACACAUGUCAUAACAUGAAGAAUUAAAAGUGUCAAAUUGAUUUUAUCUACUUUGUGUGCAUCGAAAGCAUUUUGAUUUAGCUUCUAGAAUUUUGUCUACUACAUGUUUACAUGAGGAACAGACAGAUUUACCAGCUCAGUUGUACUGCAGAUGUAUCCUUUUAGAAUAGGAUAAAUGAUGCAUGUAUGAUUGACUACAGAAAACUAAUAAACUUUCAAAAAUGAACUUUACCUCCAGCUGCCAUGCCAGAUGCGGCUCCUAGAGCUUCUAGCAGUCCUACAGCUAGAAACGGCGUCUUUGGUAGAGAAAGCAUUUCAUGGGUUACAAUGCCAGCGUGAUAGCGAAUAUACAGGAUGGAGAAGUACACAACCACAUAUCUGGUAUUCAAAAGUACGCAUGUAGCCAAAUUAGAAAUAUCACUUACCAAAAUGUGAAUAGAUGAAUGAGUUCAAAUUUUGUAGUACAUUGUGAGUGAUAAAAGCAUGCUAACGCUAAGUUUGGUUUUUGGUUAACUAACAGAACAAUAGGUCAUAUACAAACUAAGCGAUACCCCCAAGUUUCAAACCAUCUAGAAACUCGUUAUACUAAACAAUAUUCUUUUUAGCAUAUAAUAACAUGACCAAUUACAUGAUCUAAUUAUCACCCCAGGAUUUCGAUAUCAUUCGAAUGCAGAUCCGGUUCACGAGUUGGUCAAACCGGUUGAUAGAGCCAUUGGGUCGUCGAACCCGAAAGCUAUGGUCGAGAGAGCUGCUACUCAGAGUCUCGGAUCAACCAAUUGGUAAAAUAACUAGUUGCCUAGUUAGGAUCAAUCCCCUGUUAGAAUCAUACCCUUCCAAUUUAAAAUUGUACUCGGAAUGCUCUCUCUCGAGGACAUAGGCUCCAAAACAAAUGUUUAUCCACCACUUUUAUGUCAUGAAUUUAAUGAAUUAUUAAGAAAGAAGAGUAUAGUUCAAUCUAAAGUACAUCUCAAAUUUCUGGAGUUUCAAUGUCCUUUUUCCGCUGGACAAUGUAGAACACAUUUGGCAAGGGCUGCUCUAAUUUUAUAUUUUUCACAAAAAAAUCAAACAAUAUUUUAAGCUUGGAAUUAUAUUUCUAUGAUAAAAAGCAAAGUAAACGUGUUAAGAACACGCUUACGCACAUGUAAAAUUGCAGCAUCCGUGAUAUUUAAGAGGCUACAAUCAGAUGCGCACUAAUAAGCUUUUGAGUGGUACGAGUCCCACAUUAUUUCAACUAAGAAACAACUUGUCUAUGCGUAACAGGAUGGUCAGACUUGUUGCCUGCUGGUGGGUCAUUUGGACGACCAGGAAUGAUGCAAUUUUUAGUAAGACCGAGCCGGACCCCCUACGUGAUGUCUAUAAGAUUAAACAGUUGACGAACCUGUGGGAGCAUCAUAUCACAGCUAAGAAGUAACAACAUAUCACCCUUUUUUUUUCACCCUCCUCAAGACUUCGGAUGCCUCACCCUUGUAAUUUAAUUCAUCCUUUUAAUGAAUGAAGUAACAUGUUAGUUUUCCCUCAAAAAACAAACAACUUAGUCAAUUUUAUGUAUUUUUCUCAAAAGACAAAACAUUUUUUUUCAAUAUUAAUUAAUUGUGCAUUAAUUUAUGAAAGUCAUAGGAAAUGGGAAAUGGGAAAUGGGAAAUGGAAGGUGCGUAACGGCUUUUCGCAGCCGCAACGCGCCACGCCACACGUUCCGUUGCUCGACACAACGACACACGACGAGCUCGAACGUGCCAAACAAAAUGUGGGGCCCAACGACACGUGCUCUUUCUUUUUCUUUUUCUUUUUCUUUUUUCCACUUCUUCAUCUCACGACAAUAUCAGAAAAUUUCUAAAUAUAAAUAAUUAGUUUUAAUAGUAAUUAUAAUCCGCUCUUUUUAUAGAUUUUUGUUUAAUAAUGAUUACAAAAUUGGGGAAAAAAAUUGGACAAAAAAGCGACCACAUACAGUCCUAUCAAGUCGCACGUGGACACGUGUACGAUAACGGAGAUCGACACAGCACUUUUAACCGCCGUUAUUUCCCUCGGGAACAAAUCAACCUACUCUUUCUCACGGUACAGCUACGCCGUUAAUGACACUUCAGACGACAAAAUUAAAAAGAAAAAAAAAAAAACAUUGCACCACGAGUGUCCAAAAUUAAUCCAAAUCUGAUCGAUGUUUUAACAUUUAAACUAAAAUUUCUAAAUAAUUAUUUUUAAAAGUAUUUACUUAAUCAAGAGAAAUUUACACAUUUUAGCAUUAAUAGUUUACAAGAAAAAGAAAGCAAUUUCCAAAACUUAAUUACAGCAAAAUGAGAAAAAUUAGACCGAAUUAUUAUCCAAAUUAAAUUUGAAAAUUAGAAAAAUAAGGAGGAGGAGGAGGAGGAGGAGGAGGAGGGAGUGGUGGAAACACNAAACAUUUUGUACUACCAAAUGUUGGAUAUAUAUAUGUUUACAUUCAGUAUUCUCUAUUACUAACUAAUUUGGUGUUCUUGCGUUAUUAGUGUAGUGGCUUUUUAUUUAUAUGAAAUUUCUUCACACAUGUGACUCUGGAUGAGAUCUGUGAUGCACAUAUAAAUCACAAAUAAGGGUCAGGGGUAUCAAGGAUUUUAGUGCUCGUCACCACAAGCUGUCUCUACUUUAUUAUACUAUGUUGACAAAAUAUUGACACGAUACAAUUUCAUGCCAAAGGCACGUACGGCUCAAACCCUCUUUUUUUUUUUUUUUUGUCACAUUAGCAAAUAGUUAUCUAAACUAGGAAAGAUCAGAUAAAAAUAAAAUUAAAGCAUGAAAUCCUUUAUGCUUCCUUCCUAAAGCUCUCUACCCAACUUGGGAGAGAGCUUCUAGAGAGAGGGAGAGAAAUGAGAGAGGAGUGUAAUAGCUGUGAGAGAGAGAGAGAGAGAGAGAGAGAGAGAGAGAGAGAGGGUGUUGGGAUCUUUUUAUAAGUUGUUACAAUAGCAAAAAGGCCCUCAUUUUUUUUUAUUUACAGCAAACCUAACCUGCUGUUUCGCAGUCGGCAUACCGGUACGCGGGCAAUUUGUCACCGGUACGCUCCCGCGCAGCUGCCGAGAUUCGAGACCUGAUGUUCUCGGUCUGGCGUAGGGUAUCAGUACUCGGGAAAAUAGUCACCGAUCAAUAGCCUUGACGGAGGCUAACCCGAGAGCUGCUACUCUCGGUCAGCUGCUUGGUGCCGGUACUCUUUGAAAUAGUCACCGGUUAACAAUGCUUCAAAAUUUUCGUUUUACAUUAUUUCGACUUUAUUUCGCACCGAGUAAUAUUAAAACCUUUUUAACUCACUUGGAACUCAACUUUGACCCUUCCAACAUUAUUGAAAUGCUAAUUGGAUUUUGUCCAAUUAUUUCUCUCGCACACUUUAGUCGAUUUGACUAAAAUUCGAUAUACACUAUCGAGGCUUCGGUAUAUUACACUGGACGUAAUGUCGUUUAAGCUGCUCCAUCGCCCGAAGGGAGGGCUCGUUGCGGCGACCGUAGGGGCCGAUGGCGACCAUUCGGGGCUUGUACAGCACCGUGUUGCGCUCCCGGAUGAAGGCUGCGACGCGGAAGAAGGUGAAGUUCUUAUCCGCGGCCGUCGGCUCAUCGCUCAAGGCGCGUUGUUUAUGCCUGGCUCUCAGCAGGGACUUGGACUUGGGAAUAUCUAGUGCCACUUCCACUCCUUCCAUCGUCAACCUGUACCAGAGGUUCUCAAACUCUCACGAAUUUAUUGGUGCAGAAAAAAUAGGAUGAAAGAGUCCUCCCUCGGCUUAUCUAUAUCCGCAGCUAUGUUAGUUAACUCACGAAUUAUUCGCGAAUUUUUGAAAAAACAAAUUAAACGGCCGAAUACGUAUUUUUUCGAAAAAUUCGAAAAAAAAGUGAUUUUUUGACUAAAAAAUACGGAUUCGCGUAUUAUAGGGCGAGCCGUAUUAUUCGGCCAAAAGAAACUGCUCACACCCGCGCAGCCCGUGCCUGCCCCCGCCGCUCGUGCCUGCCCGCGCUCCCGCGGGCUCCCGCACGCGCGCAUGGGCCGGCGUGCCCAAAACAGUGAAAUGCCAAAAAAAAAAAAAAAACUCUCCAAACACCUUGCCUAAGACCCAAAAAAAAAAAAUUUUCUUUUCAAAUUUUUACUUAAUUAAUUUAAUUUUAUAGCUAUUUAUUUUUAUAUUUUUUAAAAAAUAUGAAUAUUUAUACUAAUAGCAUAAAUUUUAAAAAAAAAAUAAUUUAAUAGCCGAAUUUUUUAUCCUGAAUUUUUAAUUGGUAAACGUAUAAUAUCCGUAUAAAUCACGUAUCCGAAUAAUUGAUGAAUCUAUUUUUUAGCCAUACUUUUCAACGAAUUUAAAAAUUAGAAAACGAAUUUUAUCCGAAUUAUAUCCGUACCAAAUUUUUACCGAAUCCGAAUUAACUAACUAUGAUCUGCAGACGCAGAGCACCCUGGAUUGGGACAGAAAUUAUUCGGAGAUUUGAAAUUCAAAAAAAUAAAAGUGUAUAUUUGAGCCCGUCGAACAUAUCGCUAUUUGGACGUUAGAUUUCACAUCUCGAGUAAAAAUCUAAUAUAUAUUUAAAAAUCACAAAAAAAUAAAAAAAUUAAAUAGUUUUUUAGAUAAAUUUUUAGUUUCAAAACUUAGUAUCAAAUUAAUUUUCAAACUCUUAAUUUUAAAAUUUUUAAAAUUCUUAAUUAUUUUAUGUUAGAUAUAUUUAUAUAAUUUUUAAUACUAAUCUUUUUUUUUUGAGAAAAAGAUAAUAUAUUAUCCCCUUCGUUCAUUUUUUUUUGAAAAUAAACUUACACAGAAUUAUGAAAUAAUUAGGUUCUAAACUUAGAACUUCAGUUACCAACCGCCAAGUCUUUUGUCAAUUACACUAGAGACCAGCGGUUAUUAGUGGAUUUACAUAAAAAUUAUUAUUAUAUCAAAAGUCUGCAUAAUUAUUUGUCAUUAAGUUUUGAAACUAAAAAUUUCAAAUUUCUUUCUAGUAAUUGUUUUAAUAUAUGUAAAAUUAUUUAAAUUAAUUGGUGCUGAGUGCUGAAAACUAAUUAAAUAAGGUGUCUCGAAAUAUGAGAUUAGUGCACACGGGAAGAUAAAUUUUACAUUCGUAAAUUCAUAAUUUUUUUUCUUCACCCCUUUUUGACUUUUAUUCCCUGUGGUGCUUUCUUUUUUUUUCUUUUUUGUUGAGAGAAAGAUAACAUAUUAAUUAUUUUGUUUAUUUUUUUAAAAUAAAUUUAAUUAAAAAUGUGAAGCAACUAUAAUUGAAAUUUUAAAUUUUGGAUAUCAAUUACUAAACCUUUUGCGCAGCAGCUGGGACGUUUUUAAGCCCUCGGAGCUAUAUUUAGGGAUGUCGAUGGGUAUAGAUACCAAAAAUUUUAUCCGAAUCGACCCAAAUGAAACGGAUAUAUCCGCUGGAUAUGAAUAUGAAUUCGAAUAUAGAUAUGAAAAAUAGAAACCCGACGAAUAUAUAUUCGGAUAUGGAUUUUGAUUGUGCCUGACCUAACCCGAACCCGAUCCCGAUCCCGAUCCGAGACCGAAUUUAUUUUGUAUUAUAUUAUAUAUAUAUAUAUAUAUAUAAAUUUGAUGUUAUAUUUGAAUUUAUAUUUCAAAAAUUUAGAUUUAAUAUAAUAUAUUUUAAAAUAUUGAAAAAAAAAUAAUUGUUUCGGGUUCAAAUUUUAGGGUUCGGGUUCAUGCUCGGGUUUCGAAUUUUUGGUCGGGUUCGAGUUUGGAUAUGAAUAUUUAAAAUCCGUCGGGUUUGAGUUCAGGUUCAGAUUUCGGGUUUGAAAUCGGGUUUGGAUUCGGAUUUUUAAAAAUCCACCCCGAAUCCGAUCCAUUGACAUCUCUAACUAUAUUAGCUGUUGGAGAUCGAUUGGGAAAAAUACACAGUAAUGAUCUUACUCCAAAGUGCAUCUUCUUUUCUUGUGCACGUGUUAUAUGAAAACGAAUAAAAUAUUAUUUAAAAAUAUUUGUAUUUAUAUAUGAUAUUAUUUAUAUUUGGAUAGAAAAUAUUAAAAUAGAAAUGAUUAUGAUUUUAAAAAAAUUAUAAUUAUUCAGAUAUUCAAAAAAUGAAUAUAGAUAUGAAUAACCAAAUAUUUUAAUAGUAUUAUAUUUUAUAGUAAUAAAUUAAAUUAUAAUAUUAUUUGAUUCCUAAUAUGUGUGUGGGAAAUAAAUAUUUAAGAAAAGCAAAGAGAAUUUGAAUUUGUUUAUGCAUAACUUAAUUCCUGUAUAAAUUAGAUUUAUAGAUCACUUGCACAGUUGCACUAGAUCAAAUAUCUUAUUUUGAGACAAACGUAGUACAUCAUCUGCUUCAUUUAUAAAAAAAAAAUACAUUAGGUUAUAACGAGUGAGGUAACUGUGCCUCGAGAUAAAGUGUGAAAUAAUAAUAAUAAAAAAAAAACUACAGUUGUUUUUUUUUUUUUGAGAAUAAGAUAGCAAGCUAUCUGCUUCAUUUAUUAAGCGAAAUGUACUAAGCGUACAAGUUGAAGACAGCUAGGGUCUGCUAAAAGGUCCGAACGGAUACAAGAAAGACCGACAAACAGAUACGAGAAAGGCCCAAAAAAAAAAAAAAAAGUUGAAGGGUCAAGGGAUCUCAGUUGUUGAAAUCAACAUGUUCAUAGCUAGACUGUGCGAUCAUUGGAGUCAGUUCAUCAGUACUCGCCCGCAGUACCCGGAUCUCAUCCCACAACCUCUCUAAACAUCGCAGCCUCUCUAAAUAUCGCAUAUGAAAUAGCAACCGACGAGAAUCAACUCUUUGGCCCUAAAAAUGUCUUUUGUUUUUCUCCAACCACGGGACCCAAUAAGUGGCAGCAAUAACGGAGAACCCCUUUUUCCACCGAGUGGCAGCAAUAAUGGAGAAACCCUUCUUCUUUGUUGUGCCCUCCUUCGAUCUAAACAGCUUCCAGAGCAGCUCCAACCACAGCUCCCGUCACAGGACCCACCAGAUCAAAUAUUACAGUUGCGUACACCAAUUUAAAAUUUGAAUAUACAUAUAUCAAACUUAAAUUUAAAUUUGGAUCUAUUAAUCCUUCUGAAAUCAAAGUUUAUUUCUCUUUCUACGGCUGCAACUAAAUGAGAAUCGAAAUGAAAUCCUUUCAAAUCAAAUAAAGAUAAUAGAAAUCAGUUGUUCUAAUUCCAGAUGAGCAUAAAUCUGACAUAUUUUCCAAUCCAGAGAUCAACAAUUUUACACUGGUCUGAUCACUUGAGCGUACAAGCAGAGUAUCCCCUGAGGCAAACUAAUUCCUAGGAUGGUAGUAAGGGAAGAUGGUGUAGAAGGUCUGCAGGAAGGUGAAAACAAGAACGAAAACUGCUGCGAUCAAGGAAAGGAUGGCCCACGGGUUGCCGAAAUAGUCCCUGACCAGCUUCGCCCUCCACUUGGGCCAAUCGGAAUCGCAGUACUUCCUCACGUCCCGGAACAACCCGGCGAGGUAGUGCUUCUCGAAAUCCAUGGCGGCGCAGUCGGAGAGCUGGUUGAAGAACACCGCCAGCUCCUUGUCGCUCGCCAGCUUGUUCUCCAGGAUCCCGCUCUGGUGGAGUAUCGCGACGUCUGCCGGCGUGUCGAUGAUGCAGUCCAUGAACGUCGCGUAGCUCGUCAUGUACGCCUCCUCCGGCUUGCACCCGCCGCACUGCUCGAAUGCCACGAGGUUCGUGAACCGCGAUAACGUCGAGUUCUCCACCGAGAGGAAUGGGAUCUCGAGCACGCCGUCGUGAAAUGCGACGUCCAGGAACGAACCGGGAUGAUGCUGAUCACUCUCGUUCCUUUUCCUCUUCUCGCCCUUCCUCUUAAACGUCACUCCGGCCUCCUCGAGCUCGGUCGCGGACGGGAUCGUAUUCGGCGAUCGUUUCUUAUCCGCCGGCGCCUGCGAUCGGGAAAUCUUUAUUCGGAGAUAAGAGAGGAGGGAGGCGAAGAUCUUAGUCGGGUUUAACCAUUUGAGAAUAGUACCGCAGAUGGUACUGCCCCUCGGGUCAGUUUGUGGUUUCGUGAUGUAGCAGCGGUAGUAGAGAUGCAACAGGUGGUGGAAAUCUUUGGCUUCGCCGUGCACCGAAACGGCGGCGGAGACGCGACUGGCGAGCAUCUCUUCCUCGGGCCUCUCGACGUUUCUGCUCGCGAGGUAGUUCACGAGAAGCUCCAUCAGGGAGGGUAUCUCCUCGUCGUCCAUGGUGAACGUGACGAGCUCGAACAGCUUCUCGAGCACGAAGAGGGGGAUCUGGUUCUCGAGCAGGAGCAGGUCGCCGCGCACGAGCGGCAAGCUCCAUCCGGCGGUGCAGACGCUGUCGUCGUCCCCCUGGCUCCACUUGAUGAUGAACUCGAGGACGAAGCACCCGUCGAGGAGCAGCAUCUCCACGAAC
RNAcentral lists this long non-coding RNA (56819 nucleotides) under Ananas comosus (pineapple). RNAcentral describes it as "long non-coding RNA (ACOM_LNC012668)". Lineage: Eukaryota; Viridiplantae; Streptophyta; Magnoliopsida; Poales; Bromeliaceae. The record is from RNAcentral.